UCUUCUUCAGUUUCAUAAAUGCAUAGAAAAUUAACAAGCUCAAAUUCCUUCUUUUCAUAUUCAUCUCUUUCAUUUUGAAUUGCAACUUUAUCCUGCCUAAAUUCCUCAACAAUGAACCACCCAUCAGGACAGCCUCAAAAUGAACUUCCUUGGUCCGCCGGAUUCUGAGAUUGUUGCUCUGACCUGAAAACUUGUAACCCUUUCUUCUUUCUUCAAUAUCAGUUGUGUCUUUUUAAUUAUAUGAAUUAGUUUAUCAAUUAAAUAUAUGGACAUUUCAGGUUGCAUUUCAUACUGGUGCCCAUGCAUCACCUUUGGCCAGAUUGCUGAGAUUGUUGAUAAAGGGUCGACUUGUAAGUUAUUAAUUUCUAAAUUGAAAUCUUAUCAUCUUAGGUUUGCAGACAUAUAUAUAUAUUUAAAGAGAUAUUAUGUAAUUAAUAAUAAUGUUGAAAAACACUGUUGGAUGGUGCAGCAUGUGGGGCAAGUGGGGCACUAUACACAUUAAUAAUGUUCAUCACCGGGUGUGGGUGCUUAUAUUCUUGCUGCUACCGAUCCAAACUGAGAAAGCAGUAUAACUUGAAAGGAGGCGAUUGUGGCGAUUGCAUGCGUCAUUUCUGCUGCGAGCCUUGUGCCUUGACACAAGAGUAUCGUGAGCUCCAGAACCGUGGAUUCGACAUGUCUAUCGGUAUGUCUACAUACCAAUAUUAUACCCCUUUUAAUUAUUCUUAAUAUAACUUCAAGUAUAUUAAUUGAGUAGCUGUAAACAAAUAUCUCCGAAUAAAUAUGUUGGUAAUGAUGAGAUAAAUUAUUGUUUGAGGUCAUUAAUUUUGUGGGGGUAUAUUUAUAUAUGCAGGUUGGCAUGCAAAUGUGGAGAAGAACCCAGGGCUGGCAAUGGCUCCAGCGGUAGAAAAAGGCAUGAGCAAAUAGAUGAUGAUGAUGAUGAGACCACUGCAUUAAUAUCAUCUUUACAUGUAACACUUAAUUCCUUGGCUUUCCAUAAUUGGUUGAUUGUACGGCUUGCCAAUUGAAUUUCAAGUUAUGUAUGUUUGUGAUUGUCAAAUAUAUUAAUAAAAAGUGUUACUAUUCAUGUUAGAUCUUCAUGAAUAAGAAUGAGAAUCGAAAAUAACUUGUAAUAUUGUGUGUGCAUGUUUGGUAUUUAGGUGAAAUACUUAGAAAGAGAGGUUGGAUUAAAUUAAUUUUUUAUUAUCAAAAUGGAUGAUUUUAAUUUUUAUAUUAAUAAAAAGAAUUAAAUAAAAUUAAUAUUUAUUGUUUUAGAAAAUGACAUCAAAUUAUUGUUUUUUAUAGUUCAAUCCAAAUAAAAUAUCUACAAAAUCAUUAAAAACUUUUAAAAUGUGACUUUGUUAAAUAGUAAAUAGCAUUUUUUUAAAAGGGUUCAUAUAUAUCGUGAUACCUAAAGUUGGCAACUUCUACUUAGUAUCUAAAUCGGUACAUAAACUUGAAAAUUGUAAGUCAACUUCGUAUUUUUAUAAGUAUGAUGAUGUUGGUGUAGUGUGAGGAAGAAGACUUGAAUGGGUUUGAUUAUUUUUAAUAAUACAGGAAUUUACAUAUUAUAAGUAAAUAGACACUCACAUUCUUUAUGUAUUAUAAGGAAGAAGACUAAGUCGAUCUACUUUGUAAUCUCAUCAAUCUUAAUUUUCUCAAUUGUUAAGGGAGUUCAAAUGAAAUACAAAAUUUUGGUAAAAAAAAGUAUCCAAUUUUGUGAAUAAAAAAUAUAUGGUAAAAAAGAUUUGGUAUCGAUACUUCGGCGCGGGUAUCAAUACUCGAUACAUUGCUUUUGGUUGGAAAGUAGUGUCUGGAACGGCCAUGGGAUGUGUUGUUUUCCAAACCGGUAAGGCGAAAAGGUUUGUGAAUUUGGUUGAAGACCAACAUGAGAAGAGGCGAAGAAGAAAACCAAAAUAUAGCAAUCGCAUCAAUGGAUGAAGAAGGAUCUAGUUGGUGCAAAUGAAGUUAAAGCAUUUGUGCUGUGUCUUCAUAAUUUCUUGUUUAGUAGUCUGUCAGAAAGUUUUUCCUAUGGUGAAAAGUUGCAUUGGUAUGUGUCUGUCUUUAUGAUUGUACCAAUUCCUCUGUAUUUCAUUGCAUUUCGUACUAUUUGUAAGGGUUUAGUUCGAGUGUAACAUCUUGUAUGGUGCAACUAUGUAUGUCUUCUUUCUUGAUUAUUGAAAUUAUAAUCAAAAUUAAUACAUGUUCUUUUUAUUAGCUUAAGGGCGUAAAAACACUUCAAAAUUUUCAAAAAAUAAAAUAAAAUUUUAAGUCCCUCUUUUUUUUACACUCAAUUGAAAUUUUUAAAAUGUAUCAAAAAUAUCUUUACAGUUCUUCAAAAAAAAAAACAAUUAAACCCCUAUUUUUUUUCCGCUCAAUUGGGUACUUGAACUUUCAUAAUGCAUCAAAAAUGCCUUAAAUUUUUUUCAAAAAAGCAAUUAAGCCCCUACUCUUAUUAAAAAUUAGAAAAAAAUCAUAAAAAUAAUAAAUUUUAGAAAAAAUUAUUAAAUUUUAAUAAAAAUUUAAAAUUUUAUUAAAAAUUAGAAUUUUUUUUUAGAAAAAUCGUCAAAAAAUAAAAAAUUAUAAAAUCCAUCAAAAAGUUUUAACAAUUAACUUUAACUAUUGAUCGUUAAAGUUAACGACCUCUAGUUUUUUCAAUUAAAGUCAUUAUGUGUCGCAACUCAACGUGACAUGUAGCGAAAAUAGAUAAAAAAGUAAAAAUCAAUAAAAGUUAUAGAAAAAUUAUAAAAUAUUUCUUUUGGUAGAAUAAUUUUUAUAAAUUUUUUUUACAAAAUUUAUAUUUCUUUACAUUUUGUAUAAUUUUCUUAUAACUUUAUAAAAUUUUAUAAAUUUUUAUAUUUCUAUAUAUUUUAAAAUUUUUUAAAAUUUUUAUAAAAUUUUACAAUUUUUAUAUAUUUUUAAUAAAUUUUUAAUAUUUGAUUUUUUAUUAAAAUUUAAUAAUAUUAUAGAUUUUAUUGAUUUUAAUUUUUUAUCUAAUUUUUAAUAAAAUUAGGGGGUUAAUUGCUUUUUUUUUAAGUUUGAGGGUCUUUUUGAUGCAUUUUGAAAGUUCAAGUACCCAAUUGACUGCAAAACAAAAAGAAAAAAAGUAGGGGCUUAAUUGCUUUUUUUGAAAAUGUUUGAGGGCUUUUUUGAUGUAUUUUGAAAGUUCAAGUACCCAAAUGAGUGCAUAAAAAGAACAGGGGUUUAGUUGCUAUUUUGAAAAAGUUUGAGGGCUUUUUGCACCUUUAAACCUCUUUUCUUUUUCUAAAUUUAAUUUAGAACCAACUUUGUGUAAAGACUUGGGAAAUUUAAUUAGCAAAAUUUCUUUCCAUGUAAAAAUUUCCCCUAUUUCUUGUUUGAAUUUAAAGCAAUACAAUAUUUUUCUAGCAAAUAAUAGAAAAUGACAGUCAAUUAAUUCCAGCAAUACAACAUUUCCAGUCUGGUGGAAAACAGCUAGGGACCAAAUUUUUAAAGUGUUGUUUACUACACACUUAGGGACCAUAUAUGUAUAUAUAUAUAUUCCAGUCUGGGUCUUUGUCGUGUUUUGUUGGUUGGCUAUGGCCUUCUUGUUGUUUCAUGGCCACUGCCCGUGAAUUAAGUCAUAUGUGGCCUUGUUUGCUAGACCUUAGUUGCUAAGUUAAAGGGAGUGAAUAGAGCACCAUAUUUCUUCUUCUGCGUGGAAAAUAAGUUGGCAUUAUGCCAAAUUCCACAUUCAUACAUAGAAAGGAAGCAAGGCCAAGUCAUUAUACUUUGUAAUCUCAUCAAUUCUAAUUAUUUCACUUCUUCAUUCUUUAGGGAGUUCAAGUGAAAUACAAAUUUUUCCACAUCCAAUCUCAUAAAUAAUCCGUCUUUGAACUUUCACAAAAAAAUAUUAAAUACCCAUUCACUUUAAUUCUACUAUUCUUAAAUCAUUCAAGUUUUGUGGAAAAUAUGCUUCUUGGAUAAAAUUAUUCAACACACAUGCCUUGAAUUUUAUGCAAUAAAAUAAAUCAAUAUAGGCCACACAUGCUUUGAAUAUUUAAGUAGUCCACAAUUUUGUUCGUUUGUGUGCAAAAUUCUACAUUGCUUGACAGCCAUACAUUCUAAGUAAAUAGACACCCACAUUGUUUACGUAUUAUGAAGAAGAAGACUAAGUCAGUCUACUUUGUAAUCUCAUCAAUCUUAAUUUUCUCAGUUAUUUAGGGAGUUCAAAUGAAAUACAAAAUUUUGGGAAAAAAAAUGUAUCCAAUUUUGUGAAUGAAAAAUAUAUGGUAAAAAGGAUUUGGUAUGGAUACUUCGGCUCGGGUAUCAAUACUCAGGGUAAGUUUAUCGAUACAUUGCUUUUGGUUGGAAAGUGGUGUUGAUAGGUGAUGACUAAAAUUUGAUAAAUUUGAAAAGUACAUGAAAUUUAACGAUUAUUGUUUGGUGAUGACUAAAAUUUUAAAAUUUGAAAAGUACAUGAACUAAAAAUGACCAAAUUAAAGUAUAAAGAUUAAGUCCACAACUUUUGCAAAGUACAAGGACUAAUAGCAGAAAUUAACCUAAAUUUCAUAUGGGUCAAUUACAAAAAUAAUCACUAAACUAUUCCUUUGGUUCUAUUCUAGUCACUCAACUAUAGAGGUGCUCAUGGGCUGAGCCAGGUCAAGCCUAAGUAUGAUAUUAAUGUAUUUUAUACUUGCUCAAGCUUGGCUCGGCCUGAAAUAUGAGCUUAAAAUUUUGCCUGAACUCAUCCAUAUUUGCAAAAGACUAACCCAAGCUCAUUUUAAGCAUGCCUAUAUAAUUUUUAAUUUUUUUUAAAUAUUUAUAUUAUAUUAUAUUAAUUAAUAAUUUAAACAUUUUUUAUUUAUUAAAAUUUUUUAUAGUCAUUUUAACAUUAUUUUAAUGUUUACAUUAUAGUAUUAUUAUAUAUUUAGUAUAAGUAUUUUUUUAAUAUGUUCUAAUUUAUAUAAUAUAAAGUAUUAUACACUUAAAAACGGGCCGGGCUGGGCUUGAGCUUUAGUUGUUACUCAACUAUUAAUUUUUUCGAUUUAGUUGUUAACCUUUUCAAAAGUAAAUAUUUUAGUCAGUCUCCUAUUAGUUGUUGUUAAAUGAGUGACGGAAAGCUAAUGUGAGCUUUUUUUAUUAGUCUAAUAACAAAUUUAGCCCUCCAAUGUUUACACAUUCUAUCAAUUUGAUCGUAAAUAUAAAAAAAAAAUCAACAAAUUUAGCCCUGAAUAUUAACAAAACUUGUCAUUUUAGUUCAAAUUCUAAAAAAUUUAAUAAAUUUAACCUUUAAUAUUUUCAAAAAAAUAGCAAUUUAGUUCUAAUUCUAAAAAUUUUAAUAUAUAUAUUUAAAAAAAUAUUUCUAAUCCUCUGUCUCACCCUUUGAUUUUUUAGAUGAGCUAAAAUCAAAAUAUAUCAUUAUGUCUUUUUGUUUUAAUGCUAAAAGAGAUAAAAAAAAAUGGAAAGCUAAAAUGGCUUUUCGUUUGUGAAGUUAAAAAAUGCCAAAUAAAUUAUUAUGUCUUUUUAGUUUUAAUUUUUUACUUGAUUAAAAGAGAAAUAAUUAACGAAUGAAAAAUAAUUAUUCACAAAUAAAUUUAUCAGAAUUUAUAACAAAUGAGAUUUUAAAUUUGAAUUUAUAAAUCAAAAUUUAUAUAUAUAUAUAUAUAUAUAUAUAUAUAAAAGAAAACACAUUUUUAUGAAAUAUAAGAUUUUGUUAAAAGAAAGAGCAUAUAAAAGCAUACACGUUUUUAUGAAAUACAAGAUUUUGCUAAAAGAAAAAGCAUCCAAUUUUAAGAAUGAAAAAUAUGUGGUAAAAGCAUCCAUAACUUUUCAAUGUAAAAGAAAAAAAAACUGUAACACCAAUGUUGUGGUAUUAUUUGUUGCCUAUAAAUACCAUUCCUAUCCUUCAUCUUCCUCUACCAACAUAACAUGGCCUCCUCCUAUCUCUUUCUCUUUCUCUGCCUAUUCCUCUUCUUUCCCCAUCUUUAUGCUUCUUUUUCUUCUUCAGGAUCUCACUCCUGCUCUUCACUAAUCCAGUUUAAGGACUCUUUUUCCAUAACAGAGGAUGCUUCUUCUGAUUGCAAUGAGAUUGCUGGCCAUAAAUUUUAUCCCAAGACCAAUUCAUGGAAGGAGGGUACAGAUUGCUGCUCAUGGGAUGGGGUCACUUGCGACCACCUAAAUGCUCAUGUUAUUGCCCUUGACUUGAGCUGCAGUUGGCUAUAUGGCAACUUCCCUUCCAAUUCCACUCUCUUCCUUCUUCCUCACCUUCAAAAACUCAACCUUGCCUACAAUUAUUUUAAUCUUUCCAAAAUUCCAUCCGAGUUCGGUCGGUUUACAAGCCUAUUCUACCUCAACCUUUCUUAUACAUGGUUUGCAGGAGAAGUCCCAUCCCAAGUCUCCCACCUGUCAAAAUUGGUUUCACUUGAUCUCUCCUUUUGGAUUGAUAACUAUGAGCAACUUACAAUUGACAAACAUGCUCUGGAGGGACUUGUUCACAACCUAACCGAGGUCAGACAUCUGUUUUUGGAUGGAAUCAACAUGACUUCUGUUAAUGCUCAUGUCUUCAUGAAUCUAUCCUCUUCUCUAAGAUCUCUCAGUCUUGCUGGUUGUGAUUUGCAAGGAAAAUUCCCAAAAAACAUUUUUGAUUUGCCAAACCUCAAUCUCCUCAACUUGGGAGGCAACCAAUUGAGUGGACAAAUUCCAAGAUCAUUGGGGAACCUCUUGCAACUCACUGUUUUAGACUUGUGGGGGAACAAAUUGAGUGGACAAAUUCCAUUGUCAAUUCUAAACCUAACGCAGUUGGAAUACUUGGUAAUAUCUGAAAAUUCUUUAGAAGGUUCUAUUCCAGAUGAGGUAACCGCUGUUCCGAAUCUAAUAUAUUUAGUCUUAUAUGACAAUUUACUCAAUGGAACACUUCCGUCAUGGUUGUAUACUGCUCCCUCCUUAAAGGGUAUAAUUCUCUCUCAAAAUCAAUUCAGUGGGCAUAUCAAAGAAUUCCAAACCAAAUCACUAGAAUAUUUAGAUCUAGAAAAUAAUAAACUCCAAGGUCCCCUUCCAUCUUCAAUAUUCCAACUUCUCAAUCUUACCGGGCUCCUUUUAUCCUCAAAUAAUCUUAGUGGUGUCAUAGAGUUUCGCAUGUUCUCAAACCUUCCAAAUCUCAAAUAUCUUUACCUUUCAUAUAACAACCUAUCCUUAACAUCUAAUUCUACUUCUACUGUUAAUCAUAUAUUGCCUAAUCUUACAGACGUACUUUUGUCAUCUUGCAAUCUUAGUGAAUUCCCCCAGUUUUUAAAAGGGCUUAAAAGUUUGGAAAGCUUAGACCUCUCUUGCAACAAAAUUGAAGGCAAGAUUCCACAGUGGAUGCAAGAGGUGGGGAAUGUCUCUUUGACUUACUUCAACGUAUCUCACAACUCUUUGACAGAAGUUGAGCACUUUCCAUGGAAGAAUAUUGAAAGGCUUGACUUAAGCUCCAAUUUGAUCAGUGGAAAUCUUCCGAUUCCAGCUUCGACCAUCAGUGUCUUUUUUAUCUCAAAUAAUAGUUUCAAUGGAGAGGUCUCUUCUUUAAUAUGCAAUGCCAGUUCUCUUCGAAUUCUUGAUUUGUCCCACAAUAACUUGAGUGGACCAAUUCCGCAAUGUUUUGGAAAUUUGAGUGACAGCCUUGAAAUCUUGAAUCUGAAGAAGAACAAGUUCUAUGGGACGAUUCCUCCAAAAUUUGCAAAGGGAUGCCGAUUGACUAAUUUCAACUUAAAUGGAAAUCUGUUAGAAGGGCCAUUGACUCCAUCCAUCCUUAAUUGUAGGGGUCUGGAAGUGCUAGAUCUUGGUAACAACAAGAUCAAUGAUACAUUUCCUCAUUGGUUGGGAAGUCUUCCACAGCUACAAGUUCUUGUAUUGAAGUCAAAUCAUAUGCAUGGUUCCUUAUGUGUCAAUAGCUCUAAGUCUAGCCCUUUUUUCUCUAAAAUCCAAAUUUUUGACCUCUCAAGUAACUAUUUUUCUGGACCCCUACCAGUGAGAUACAUCAACAGCUUCAAGGCUAUCAUAAAUGUAGAGAAGAUUGGUAGUACAGUGUCGUACAUGGGGGUGAAUGAUGAUGGAGGUGACUUCUAUACCUAUUCCAUUGGAAUUGUCAUGAAAGGGAGAGAUAUGGAAUUGGUGAAAAUUUUCACCAUGUGGAUGAUCAUUGAUCUAUCAAACAAUCAGUUUGAAGGGGGUAUUCCAGAGGUUUUUGGGAAGCUUAACUUACUGAAAGGGCUCAACCUUUCUCAUAAUAACCUUAAUGGUGGUAUCCCCACCUUAAUAGGGAAUUUGACAAGUCUUGAAUGGUUGGACCUAUCUUCAAACAGGUUGUCUGGGACGAUUCCAAAUAGAUUGGCAGAUCUGCCAUUUCUUUCGUCCUUCAAUGUUUCUGAAAAUCAACUCCAUGGUCAGAUUCCUCAAGGCAAACAGUUCAACACAUUUGGAAAUGAUUCAUAUGAAGGAAACAAGGCAUUAUGUGGAUUUCCGGUCUCAAAAGGUUGCAACAUCAUUGAGCCAGCACCUCCAAAUGUGCUUGAAAAAGAUGGCUCAAAAUCAAACAUUACUUUUGGUUGGAAAGUGGUGUUGAUAGGUUAUGGAUGCGGAGUGGUGUUCGGAAUGUCCGUGGGAUAUGUUGUUUUCCAAACUGGUAAGCCGAAAUGGUUGGUGAAUUUGGUUGAAAUCCAACAUGAGAAGAAGCGAAGAAGAAAGUCAAAGGAUGGCAGUCGCAGCAAUGGACGAAGAAGAAUCUAGUUAGUGGAAAUGAUGUUCAAGUGUUGAUGUUGUAUCUUCAUAAUUUCUUGUUUUGAAGUCUGUCAAAUUUUUUUCCUAUCGUGAAAGGCUGCAUUGCCAUGCAUCUGUCUUUUUUAUUGUAACCAUUCAUCUAUAUUUCAUUGCAUUACGUAGUAUUUGUAAGGGUUUGUUUUAAAUGUAACAUUUUGUAUGGUUCAACUAUUUAUGUCUCUUUCAUGAGUUUCAUUUUUGAGUCUCAAUAAUCUCUGCAUUCAAGAUUUUGUCAGCUUAUUAAUUGGUGGAUCAAUAAUCUUCAUGCUCAUCUCAUCAUCUUUUUCUCGAGUUAAACACAGUCACUACUAUAAUAAUUUCUUCUGUGUGGAAAAUAAUUUGGCAUUCUGCAAAUUUCCACAAUGCUUGUGGAUUACCUCUGGUUGACGGCUAUACAUAUAAAGGAAGGAAACAAGACUAUGUCAAAAUUUCCAAAAAUCAGUCAUUCAUUUUUGAACAAUUAAACAUUCCUAUUCUAUUUUUCAAAAUUGUAAAUCCUCAAAUAAUGUAAAUUAGUCCUAAAACUCAAGUUUUGAAAUCUUUACAAUUUAACCCCUUAUAGUUUCAAACUUUACUAUUUUAUGCUCAACUUUCUAAAUCUUCAUAUUUCAUGAUCAUAUAAUUUAGUUAUUACAUCAAUAUUUCAGAUUUCACUACUCAAACCCUUACUUCAUUUUGGUCCUUACUUCAAUUUUUUCAAAUUAAAUCAAUUUUCAAUUUGACUGCAUUGAUGUGAAAUUGAGGGAGCACUAAACAAUGUUGAUGCGAGUUUAGGUAAAAUUGGUGGAUCCCAUCUCCUUAGUAAUUUCUUUAUGGAAGUAGCUGCUUUCACACUGCAAACUUGAAUAGUUUGUGGUGGACGAUGAUGAAUCAUUUGACAAUCAAACACAUAAUUUUUAAACACAAAAUUAACGAUAUUUUGAAAUCAUUAUUGAAAUUAUAAUCAAAAUUAAUACAUGUUCUUUUUAUUAGCUUAAGGUCGUAAAAACCCUUCAAAAUUUUCAAAAAAAAAAAAAAUUUAAGUCCCUCUUUUUUUUUUUCUAAUUUUUAAUAAAAGUAGGGGCUUAAUUGCUUUUUUUUUUUUAAGUUUGAGGGUCUUUUUGAUGCAUUUUGAAAGUUCAAGUACCCAAUUGAGUGCAAGAAGAAAGUAGGGGCUUAAUUGCUUUUUUUUAUGUAUUUUGAACGUUCAUGUACCCAAAUGAGUGCAUAAAAAAAACAGGGGUUUAGUUGCUAUUUUUGAAAAGGGUUUGAGGGCUUUUUGCACCCUUAAACCUCUUUUCUUUUUCUAAAUUUAAUUUAGAACCAACUUUGAGUAAAGACUUGGGAAAUUUAAUUAGCAAAAUUUCUUUCCAUGUAAAUAUUUCCCCUAUUUCUUGUUGGAAUUUAAAGCAAUACAAUAUUUUUGUAGCUAGUAACAGAAAACGACAGUCAAUUAAUUCCAAGCAAUACAAAAUAUCCAGUCUGGUGGAAAAUUUGUUUGUUAGAUUCUAUUAUUCAACUUUUAAGGCAUAAGUCUGAAUAUAGGGACUAAAUUUUUAAAGUGUUGUUUAUUUUAAAAUCUAUUAAUAUAUACACACUUAGGGACCAUAUAUAUAUAUAUCAUAUAUAUAUAUAUAUAUUCCAUUCUGGAUCUUUGUCGUGUUUUGUUGGUUGGCUCUGGCCUUGUUGUUGUUUCCACUGCCUGUGGUCUCUGUUUCUAAGUCAUAUGUGGCCUUGUUUGCUAGACCUUAGUUGCUCUUCACAUGUCUUGUAUUUUGUCAAGUUAAUUGAAAUGGAAAAUAAAAGUGUUGGCAUUACAGAUUAGAGUAAAAGGAAUUAGUGUUGAAGUUGGGGUUGUUCAAUUGUUGGAAUUCAUGUGUGUAUUUUUUUGAGUAUCUGGGUCUUUGUCGUGUUUUCUUGGUUGGCUAUGGCGGCCUUCUUGUUGUUCCCACUGUCUGUGGUAUUUGUUUCUAAGUCAUAUGUGGCCUUGUAUGCUAGACCUUAGUUGCUAAGUUAAAGGGAGUGAAUAGAGCACCAUAUUUCUUCUUCUGCGUGGAAAAUAAGUUGGCAUUAUGCCAAUUUCCACAUUCAUACAUAUAAAGGAAGCAAGAGCAAGUCAAUAUACUUUGUAAUCUCAUCAAUUCUUCUUCUUUCUUUAGGGAGUUCAAAUGAAAUACAAAUUUUUGGUAAAUCAACUCUUCAUUUUUAUGAAUAAAAAUUAUAUGGUAGAAAGGAAGUGGUGUUAAUAAUAAUAAUAAUAAUAAAAAGAUUAACAAUAGAACACUAAUAAAGCAAUUUAGUCUAUGAUCUGCACAAUAUAUUACUACAAAUGUACCGUACAGAAUAUUGAAAGAAAACUAAUAAAGAAGUUCGAAAUUUAAACAAUGUUCCGCAAAUUAUGUUUAUGAUCUGCUGUAAAUUGAUAUGUUAAAUCAACUCUUCAUUUUUAUGAAUAAAAAUUAUAUGGUAAAAAGGAAGUGGUGUUAAUAAUAAUAAUAAAGAUCAACAAUAGAAAACUAAUAAAGCAAUUUAGUCUAUGAUCUGCAUAAUAUAUUACUACAAAUGUACCGUACAGAAUAUUGAAAGAAAACUAAUAAAGAAAUCCGAAAUUUUAACAAGGUUCCGCAAAUUAUGUUUAUGAUAUGAUGUAAAUUGAUAUGUCAAAUUUUGUGGCAAGUAAUAGAAAAUGACAAAUUCCACAUUCAUACAUAUAAAGGAAGCAAGAUCAAGUCAAUAUACUUUGUAAUCUCAUCACUUCUUCUUCUUUCUUUAGGGAGUUCAAAUGAAAUACAAAAUUUUGGUAAAUCAACUCUUCAUUUUUAUGAAUAAAAAUUAUAUGGUAAAAGGAAGUCUUGUUAAUAAUAAUAAUAAGAUUAACAAUAGAAAACUAAUAAAACAAUUUAUCCAAAUAUCAAAAUAAAUAUUAACUUUUUCAGAAACCAAAAUUAUUUUCUAAAAAUUAUUUUUUAAAAACUAUUUUUAGUGAAACAAACUGAGUCUUAGCCCAUAUUGUAAAUUAUUUUGUGGGUCUGGAAUUCUUGUACAUUAUGCUGCAAAAGAGUGAAAUUUCCUUACAGCUAGUCGAUCAAGUUUGGUUGAAAUUGAAUGCAUUGAUGUGAAAUUGAGGGAGCCUAAACAAUGUUGAUGCGAGUUUAGGUAAAAUUAGUGGAUCCCAUCUCCUUAGUAAUUUCUUUAAGGAAGUAUCUGCUUUCACACUGUGUUGACAACUUCCCACAGAUCAAAGGCCUGCAGGUAAGUCUUCAUAUUUACCAGCCAUAUGUGAAAACCUUCUCCAUUGAAGACUGGUGGGACUGCUGGUGAAAAUCCUGAAGAAGCCAUCAGGUUUCUUGAUUUGAAGCAACAGGUCCACUAAGAAAAGGGCUCUAGAUACCAAUUGUUGGUGUAAAAGGGCAGAAGCAAACUGAUUUAAGCUUGCUUAUACAGCAAGCCUCGAGCCUUGUAGAAGAAACAAUCUCAGCAGAAAGCAAAAAUGAAGCUUGCAGUUGGAAAAACAAGAAAACAAGGAGAGAAUUUGAAUGAAAAACAAGCUGAGUUGUUCAUUAACAUUACAACAAGGCAUAUUGCCAUUACAUAUAUCAGUUAACUUGUCAAAUAAACAAGUAAUCACCUAAUCAAUUACCUAACACCACUAAUAUGCAUUGAAACUUACAAAAUUAGCUUGCAAACAUUACAUUGCUGAUAUUUCAGUCAAUCAACAUCAAAAUUACACCAAAACAUUCACCUGCUUAGUUCAAUGUGAACUAGAUUACAAAAUGAUUAAAAUACAACUAAAACAACAAGUGGUUCAGUAACUUGAAGCUUCAGCUGCUGCACACCAUGGCUCGAUUGCCUGCUGCCAUUUCUUCUUGCAUGGCCACCUUUGCAUGGGAACUAAACUCAACAUACACGAACUAAUGCAAAUAUGCUAGUGGUUUAUUUUCCACCUAUCUGAUUUUUUAAAAUGUUCUUCAGUUACACCAGUUGAUGCAAUCUAUUAUUACCUGCCUCGUUGCAAAAAGGUUAGGAAAUAAAUUCACCGACAAUCAUUGGGAACUAAGAAACUUCGCAGCAAAGCUAGUGGCAUCAAUAUGCAAAAGGUGAAGAUUCUUUUCUUUUGGACUUAUACAUGCAUAUUCGUUUUUAUGAAUUUCAGGUGUCUGAGUUUUUAGUUAUAAACUUGGAUCUAUUCUUCAAAUCAUGUGUAUAUCAUUUUUAUGCUAUUUCACACUUGCAAAACAAAUGGUGCGAGCGUGCAUGUUAUAUGCAGAAUACAUAGAUUAAUUACAUGUGGAUCAUUAAGCAUGCCUAUGUUUGACGAUUGUGUGUGGCUACCUUUUUUUACAUGAUCCAAUUUUCGAUAUGCUUUGCUUUUAGGUUGAAUGCGGAAAAGAUUAGAACUUAAUUUCCAGCAUAAUGAUUUGUCUUGGAUAUGCAGAUUUUACAUGCAUUUCUUACAAGUCAAUAUUUUAUAGAUUUGGGCAUGUUUAUCACAAUCUUCAGCCACGUGUGACAAGGACACUGCUCCACGCUUUUUUGGACCCAACGAAAACAUUUCCCCAGUAUUACGGAGCAAUUCAAGGGUUAGCAGCCCUUGGACCCAGUGUGGUAUAAUUCUAAUCUCAAAUAUUUACUAGCAACACAAUAAGAUACUUGUUUGUGGGAUCAAUUGGUCAAAGAUAUUGCAAUGAUAGCCAUCUUUUUAAGCCCAUUUCUUUCAGAAAACUGUUUUGUCACUCUUUUCUGCAAGAUCCGAAGAAAGAAAGAACAUGGAAAUCUUUAGUCCAAAAGUGUAAAUAUGCGGUUUCUCUAUAGCUAUCUUGAUUAUGGCAUCUGUAAAGUUUGUCUUUCAUAUGUUUGGCUAACGCUUCUUCAUCCAUAUGUAGGUUCGUUUACUUAUACUACCAAACCUUGAAGCGUAUUUGCAGCUUCAUGAACCUGAAAUAAAAAGACACGAGGCCUGGUGUUUUUAUGGGGCCCUGCUGGUAAGUUUAACAUCAAAUUUGGUACCAGUUUACGAGCAUCAUUUCAUUUAUUUGCUAUAGAACUAACAACACUGCAUAAAAUUUCCACUAAAAGCGUGCAGCUGGACUGUGCAUGUAUGAUCGGCUUAAAAUGUUCCCCAGUUUGCUAGCACCCCCAACUCGGCCCGUCUGGAAAAGCAACAACAAAGUUGCGACAAGUAUGAUUUCUUCGAACCAUCAUAUUUACACUUAAUCCACAGGUCUCUUCUCCCCCUUUACGAUUUUCCUUUUUCUGAUCAAUCAAGAUAAACGAAAAGCAAGCACGGACGCCUUGAUGCAGCAGCAACCACCUGCGAAGAAAAUAGCAACUGAGAGUGCAAUAGGUAUGAUGCCAAUAAAUUCCAUGCAAACUGAUUUACAAGGGGCAGUUAGCAGCUUUUCUACCACCGUAGGAGGUUCCAAUAUCGGUGUAUCAUCAAUGUCACGGCCGUUAUCAAACGAUAACAUGCUAGGAAGGGAGGUUGGGGGUCGAGUUUCAAGGACAUCAACCGUUCUAGCUCAGGCUUGGAAGGAAGACACAGACCCAGGGAACUUGUUAGCAUCAUUAUUUGAACUUUUUGGUGAAAGUAUGUAAUUAAAAUAAUAUAUUGGCUUAACCCUCCUAAAUUAUGUAUUUUUUUCCAUCUUGGGACCUAAAUUUUUUUGGGGUCAUAAGUGGUACCUAAACUACAUUUUUUCUCCUUCAAAUUAGUAUCUUCAUUAAUUAAACCGUUAAGUCUAUUUAAAAAAGAAAGACUCGAACAACAAAUUAAUACCUAAACAGUGCUCUUUUUCUCAAGGUACCUAAUUUUUAUUUUGGCCAUAAGUACUACUAAAACUAUUCUUCCGUUACUCAUUUUACACCAAAAUGUUAUAUCGGCUGAAAAGAUUCCAACAAAUAAUAGAUUGUAUGUUAUAUAAACUUUUAAAAAUAAUUAUUAUUUAAUUAAUUUUUUAUAUUUUUCUUUCUUAUUCCUUUCUAAUGUUUGGCAAUGCUGAUAAUGUUUGAAAUUGUCCCACUUGAGGUCAAAAUACUGGUGAUUAAUUUUGGUUUUGAAUUUCACCACCUACUUCUUUGACCUAAGGGGAUAGAAAAUGUUCUUUUAUCGAUCAAAACUAGUAUUUUCAAAAACAGAUUGAUUCAACUGGUUGGAUAGGAAAUCGGUCUGGAAAUAAGGGUUGAAUCGAUUGACUUGCGACCAAAAACAAAUCAGUUGAACUAAGUUAAAAAAACUGGUUGAACUAGUUCUCUCCAUUUAUAUAUAUAUAAAUAAUAAUAGUCUUUUUUUGUACUAUAUGUCAAUUUUUAAUUGGUUAAUUUUUUUUUUCAUAUAAACUGAACGGUUUGACUAAUGACGGAGGUACCAAAUUAUAGUCUAGGUACCAAUUCAUGGGUUAAGCCUAUUUCUACAAUAGACUUUUGACUAAUGGCGGUAGUAACUUGGGAAAAAAAAAGUAGUUUAUGUACCACUUGUGACAAAAAAUAAGUUUAGGUACUAUCAUGGGAAAAUGAGUAUAAUUUAGAUACUAAUUUAUGAGUUAAGCCUAAUAUAUUUGCCACAUCAUUUUUUGAAAAUAACAGAACUUAAUAAAUUUAACGGUUAUUAUUUGAUGAUGACUAAAAUUUUUAAAUUUGAAAAGUACAUGAACUAAAAAUGACCAAAUUAAAGUAUAAAGAUUAAGUCCACAACUUUUGCAAAGUACAAGGACUAAUAGCAGAAAUUAACCUAAAUUUCAUAUGGGUCAAUUACAAUAAUAAUCACUAAACUAUUCCUUUGGUUCUAUUCUAGUCACUCAACUAUAGAGCUGCUCAUGAGCCGGGCCAGGUUAGGCCUAAGCAUGAUAUUAACGUACUUUAUGCUUGCUCAAGCUUGGCUCGGCCCGAAAUAUGAGCUUAAAAUUUCGCCUAAACUCAUCAAUAUUUGCAAAAGACUAACCCAAGCUCAUUUUAGGCAUGCCCAUAUAAUUUUUAGUUUUUUUUUUUUAAAUAUUUAUAUUAUAUUAUUUUAAGAAUUAAUAAUUUGAACUAUAGUAUUAUUAUAUAUUUAGUAUAAGUUUAUUUUUUAAUCUGUUCUAAAUUAUAUAAUAUAAAAUAUUAUACACUUAAAAACGGGCCGGGCUGGGCUCGAGCUUUAAAUGUUCAAGUCUUAACCCGGCCCAUAUUUUAAACGGGCUUAAUUUUUUUACCAAAACCCAAUUUUCGGGCCUAAUUUUUUUACUCAGACCCUCCCAAAUUUUGGGCUGCCCUUGGGCUUUGGCAAGUAGCCCAACUCAUGAACAAGUUUACUCAACUAUUAAUUUUUUCGAUUUAGUUGUUAACCUUUUCGAAAGUAAAUAUUUUAGUCAUUCUCCUAUUAGUUGUUGUUAAACGAGUGACGGAAAGCUGAUGUGGGCUUUUUUUAUUAGUCUAAUAACAAAUUUAGCCCUCCAAUGUUUACACAUUCUAUCAAUUUGAUCCUAGAUAUAAAAAAAUCAACAAAUUUAGCCCUGAAUGUUAACAAAACUUGUCAUUUUAGUUCAAAUUCUAAAAAAUUUAAUAAAUUUAACCCUUAAUAUUUUCAAAAAUUAGCAAUUUAGUUCUAAUUCUAAAAAUUUUAAUAUAUAUAUUUAAAAAAAUAUUUUUAAUCAUCUGUCUCACCCUUUGAUUUUUUAGAUGAGCUAAAAUCAAAAUGAGAUAAAAAAAAAUAAAAAGUUAAAAUGACUUUUCGUUUGUAAAGUUAAAAAAUGCUAAAUAAAUCAUUAUGUCUUUUUAGUUUUAAUUUUUUACUUGAUUAAAAGAGAAAUAAUUAACAAAUGAAAAAUAAUUAUUUCUAUAUAAAUUUAUCAAAAUUUAUAACAAAUGAUAUUUUAGAUUUGAAUUAUCAGACUAUAUAUAUAUAAGUAUACACAUUUUUAUGAAAUAAAAGAUUUUGCUAAAAGAAAAAGCAUCCAAUUUUAAGAAUGAAAAAUAUAUGGUAAAAGCAUCCAUAACUUUUCAAUGUUAAAGACAAAAAAGACUGUAACACCAAUGUUGUGGUAUUAUUUGUUGCCUAUAAAUACCAUUCCUAUCCUUCUUCUUCCUCUACCAACAUAACAUGGCCUCCUAUCUCUUUCUCUCCCUAUUCCUCUUCUUUCUCCAUCUUUAUGCUUCUUUUUCUUCUUCAGGAUCUCACUCCUGCUCUUCACUAAUCCAGUUUAAGGACUCCUUUUCCAUAAGAGAGGAUGCUUCUUUUGAUCAUUGCGAUUAUUUUGCUGGCCUUAAAUCUUAUCCCAAGACAAAUUCAUGGAAGGAGGGUACAGAUUGCUGCUCAUGGGAUGGGGUCACUUGUGACCACCUAAAUGCUCAUGUUAUUGCCCUUGACUUGAGCUGCAGUUGGCUAUAUGGCACCUUCCCUUCCAAUACCACUCUCUUCCUUCUUCCUCACCUUCAAAAACUCAACCUUGCCUACAAUGAUUUUAAUUCUUCCAAAAUUCCAUCCGAGUUCGGUCGGUUUACAAGCCUAUUCUACCUCAACCUUUCCAAUACAUGGUUUUCAGAAGUCCCAUCCCAAGUCUCCCACCUGUCAAAAUUGGUUUCACUUGAUCUUUCUGGGUUUGAUGAACUAUUAACAAUUGACAAAUAUGCUCUGGAGGGUCUUGUUCACAACCUAACCGAGGUCAGACGUCUGUUUUUGGAUGAAAUGGACAUGUCUUCAGUUAAUGCUCAUGUCUUCAUGAAUCUAUCCUCUUCUCUAAGGUCUCUCAGUCUUGUUGGUUGUGAUUUGCAAGGAAAAUUCCCAAAAAACAUUUUUGAUUUGCCAAACCUCAAUCUCCUCAACUUGGGAGGCAACCAAAACCUCAAUCUUGAUCCUUUGAAGUUCAAUCGGAGCAGCAAUCUUGAACAAUUGAUAAUUUCAGACGCAAAUAUUUGUGGAGGAUUGCCUGACUCGAUGGGGAAUCUUGUGUCCUUGAAGUUUUUAGUUCUCUCCCAUUCCAACUUAUCAGGACUGGUUCCAAGAUCACUGGGGAAUCUCUUGAAACUCACUCAUUUAGACUUGUCGGAGAACCAAUUGAGUGGACAAAUUCCAAGAAAAUUGGGGAACCUCUUGCAACUCACUCAUUUAGACUUGUCGAAGAACCAAUUGAGUGGACAAAUUCCAAGAUCAUUAGGGAACCUCUUGCAACUCACUCAUUUAGACUUGUGGCUGAACCAAUUGAGUGGACAGAUUCCAAGAUCAUUGGGGAACCUCUUGCAACUCACUGUUUUAGACUUGGGAUGGAACAAAUUGAGUGGACAAAUUCCAUUGUCAAUUCUAAACCUAACGCAGCUGGAAUACUUGACAAUAUCUAACAAUUCUUUAGAAGGUUCCAUUCCAGAUGAGGUAACCGCUUUUCAUAAUCUAAUAUAUUUAGACUUAUCUGACAAUUUACUCAAUGGAACACUGCCGUCAUGGUUGUAUACUGCUCCCUCCUUAAAGACAAUAUAUCUCUCUCAAAAUCAAUUCAGUGGGCAUAUCAAAGAAUUCCAAUCCAAAUCACUAGAAUGGAUAUGGUUAGAGAAUAAUAAACUCCAAGGUCCUCUUCCAUCUUCAAUAUUCCAACUUCUCAAUCUUACCCAACUUAGCUUAUCCUCAAAUUAUCUUAGUGGUGUCAUAGAGUUUCGCAUGUUCUCAAACCUUCCAAAUCUCGAAUAUCUUGACCUUUCAUAUAACAGCCUAUCCUUAACAUCUAAUACAACUUCUACUGUUAAUCUUACAAGCUUAUUUUUGUCAUCUUGCAAUCUUAGUGAAUUCCCCCAAUUUUUAAAAGGGCUUAAAAGUUUGGAAAGCUUAGACCUCUCUUGCAACAAAAUUGAAGGCAAGAUUCCACAGUGGAUGCGAGAGGUGGGGAAUGGCUCUUUGACUCACUUAAAUGUAUCUCACAACACUUUGACAGAAGUUGAGCACUUUCCAUGGAAGAAUAUUGAUGUUCUUGACUUAAGCUCCAAUUUGAUCAGUGGAAAUCUUCCGAUUCCAGCUUCGACCAUAAGAGUCUUUUUGAUCUCAAAUAAUAGUUUCAAUGGAGAGGUCUCUUCUUUAAUAUGCAAUGCCGCUUUUCUUGAAAUUCUUGAUUUGUCCCACAAUAACUUGAGUGGAACAAUUCCACAAUGUUUUGGAAAUUUGAGCAACAGCCUUCUAUUCUUGAAUCUGAAGAAGAACAAGUUUUAUGGGACGAUUCCUCCAGCAUUUGCAAAGGGAUGCCGAUUGAGUAAUUUCAACUUAAAUGGAAAUCUGUUAGAAGGGCCUUUGACACCAUCCAUGAUCCAUCCUUAAUUGUAAUGGUCUGGAAGUGCUAGAUCUUGGUAACAACAAGAUCAAUGAUACAUUUCCUCAUUGGUUGGGAAGUCUUCCACAGCUACAAGUUCUUGUAUUGAAGUCAAAUCAACUGCAUGGUUCCUUAUGUGUCAAUAGCUCCAAGUCUAUCCCUUUUUUCUCUAAAAUCCAAAUUUUUGAUCUCUCAAGUAAUUAUUUUUCUGGACCCCUACCAGUGAGAUACAUCAACAGCUUCAAGGCUAUCAUAAAUCUAGAGAAGAUUGGGAGUACAAUGUCGUACAUGGGGGUGUAUGCUCAGAGAGGUAGUGCCUUCUAUACCCAUUCCAUUGGAAUUGUUAUGAAAGGACAAGAUAGGGAAUUGGUGAAAAUUUUCACCAUGUGGAUGAUCAUUGAUCUAUCAAACAAUCAGUUUCAAGGGGGUAUUCCAAAGGUUAUUGUGAAGCUUAACUUGCUGAAAGGGCUCAACCUUUCUCAUAAUAACCUUAAUGGUGGUAUCCCCACCUCAAUAGGGAAUUUGACAAGUCUUGAAUGGUUAGACCUAUCUUCAAACAGUUUGUCUGGGACGAUUCCAAAUAGAUUGGCAGAUCUGCCAUUUCUUUCGUCCUUCAAUGUUUCUGAAAAUCAACUCCAUUGUCAGAUUCCUCAAGGCAAACAGUUCAACACAUUUGGAAAUGAUUCAUAUGAAGGAAACAAGGGAUUAUGUGGAUUUCCGGUCUCAAAAGGUUGCAACAUCAUUGAGCCAGCACCUCUAAAUGUGCUUGAAAAAGAUGGCUCAAAAUCAAACAUUACUUUUGGUUGGAAAGUGGUGUUGAUAGGUUAUGGAUGCGGAGUGGUGUUCGGAAUGUCCGUGGGAUAUGUUGUUUUCCAAACUGGUAAGCCGAAAUGGUUGGUGAAUUUGGUUGAAAUCCAACAUGAGAAGAAGCGAAGAAGAAAGUCAAAGGAUGGCAGUCGCAGCAAUGGAUGAAGAAGGAUCUAGUUAGUGGAAAUGAUGUUCAAGUGUUGAUGUUGUAUCUUCAUAAUUUCUUGUUUUGAAGUCUUUCAAUUUUUUUCCUAUGGUGAAAGGUUGCAUUGCCAUGCAUCUGUCUUUACUUUUGUAACAAUUCAUCUGUCAUAAUAUUAUAGAUUUUAUUGAUUUUAAUUUUUUCUCUAAUUUUUAAUAAAAAUAGGGGCAUAAUUGCUUUUUUUUUUUAAGUUUGAGAGUAUUUUUUAUGCAUUUUGAAAGUUCAAGUACCAAAUUGAGUGCAAAAAAAAAAAGAGUAGGGGCUUAAUUACUUUUUUUGAAAAUGUUUGAGAGCUUUUUUGAUGUAUCAAAUGAAAUACAAAUUUUGAGUAAAUCAACUAUUCAUUUUUAUGAAUAAAAAUUAUAUGGUAAAAAGGAAGUAGUGUUAAUAAUAAUAAAAAAGAUCAACAAUAGAAAACUAAUAAAGCAAUUUAGCCUAUGAUCUGCGCAAUAUAUUACUACAAAUGUACUGUACAAAAUAUUGAAGAAAACUAAUAAAGAAAUCUGAAAUUUUAACAAGUUCCGCAAAUAAUGUUUAUGAUUUGCUGUAAAUUGAUAUGUCAAAUUAGGCUCUCCAUCACACUUAAAAGUUUAUUUUCGAGCAAUUUAGAUAUCUUUGUUGCGUUUUUAUUUUGUUUUAGUUGUUUAUAUUAAUAAAUGAUUAGUGUGCAUUUUGAUGCUAUUUUAAGACCUGAGAUGGCCAAAUGGCACCCGGGGAAUCUAAUGAGGUUGGUGAGUGAUGCAGAGAGCCCAUGGUGGCCCGGAAGGAACGAAAAUGUUACCUAGAAAGAGGGUAUCGCAUUUCAAAGCAUGAAAGUCGUAAUACCCAUAACAAUGUUAAAAACAAGGAAGAUUGAGCCAUCAACAAUGUUAUCGUGAUACCGGUCAUAAGAUAUCGCGAUACCCAAAACUUCCAAGGAUCCCCCAAGACUGUUGUGGAUAUCGCGAUACCAAACUUUGGGUAUCGCAAUAUCAUUGAUGAGAGGAGACAAAAUAUAACUGUAGGGGUAAUCCUUUUCCAACAUGUGGAAUGGCCAUGGGAUGUGUUGUUUUCCAAACCGGUAAGGCGAAAAGGUUCGUGAAUUUGGCUGAAGACCAACAUGAGAAGAGGCGAAGAAGAAAGCCAAAAUAUAGCAAUCGCAUCAAUGGAUGAAGAAGGAUCUAGUUGGUUCAAAUGAAGUUAAAGCAUUUGUGCUGUGUCUUCAUAAUUUCUUGUUUAGUAGUCUGUCAGAAAGUUUUUCCUAUGGUGAAAAGUUGCAUUGCUAUGUGUCUGUUUUUAUGAUUGUACCAAUUCCUCUGUAUUUCAUUGCAUUUCGUACUAUUUGUAAGGGUUUAGUUCAGUGUAACAUCUUGUAUGGUGCAACUAUGUAUGUCUUCUUUCUUGAAUUUCAACUUUUAGUAAACAUUAUACUGCUCACCAUAAAAAAAAUACAUGUAGAAUUACAAAAGAUUCAAUUAUUCAAGUUUGAGUUGCAUUUAUAAACAUGUGAUGAUGAGAAUUCAUGAACAAAAGGUAUGGUUUGAGCCCUUUUGCAAUAUGCGUUUAUGUUGCAUUUACCUAUAUAUCUAUCGACAAAUUUAAGAGUAAUAUUUACAAUAGCAUUGCAGAGUAACAUAUUUACGAUUGGAUUACACAGUCAAAAGAUUGCAGCAACGAUGAGAUUAAUCCAAUUACAGGAAUUGAUAUCCUAAAUGGCUUUUAGGUACGUAGCUUCAUUGACGGUACAAACUAGUUAAAAUUUCCAGAAUUCAUGUCUUUGUUUUCCCUCAAGUAAACGUAGUCAAUACUGCAAAUGGUGUGGAAGUAUUGUACAUUGUGGCCCAAAUGUCCAAAAUUUCCACAUUGCUUGUAAAUUAAGUGAUGAAAACCAAAACUGUUUGAGGCAUCCAAUUACCCACAGAGAUAGGAAGUAAGGACGCAUGUAUAAUUAUUAUCAUUAAUUAAAGCAUAUAUAAUUACAUUAAAUAUAGGAUAAACUAUAAAAAUAAUCACUUUUAUUUACCUCAUAUUACAUUUUAGUCACUUAUGUUUGAAAUGUUACAUUUUGGUCACUUACGUUAUCGUUUUGGUACGAAGUGGUCACUCUACCGUUAAGCUCCGUUACCUCCCUAACGGCGAUUCUACGUGAUAGUCCAAAUGAGUUUUAAAUGCCAACUUAAAUGUCUUGCGUGGCUGUCUAAAUUAAAUUUAUUUAAUUAAAAACUUAUUUUCAUCUCAACAACCGGACAUUCAAGUUCGCAUUUAAAACCCAUUUAGACUGCCACGUAGGACUGCCGAUAGGGAGGUAACAGAGUUUGAUAGUAGAGUAACCACUUCAUAACAAAACGAUAAUGUAAGUGGCUAAAACAUAACAUUUCAAACAUAAGUAAUUAAAAUAUAAUAUAAGGUAAACAAGCCUUAAAUAUAUAAAUUACUAUGAUUACUAUCAAGAUAGCAUUGACCUGUUCAACAGGCGGAACCAAUAGAUCUGACCAUUUGGUGACUCUAGCAGUCGAUAAGUGUGAGUGGCAGACUGUGCAACUUGUAACUAUGUUAAUUGAUGAAAAGCUUUUUGAUAGAAGAUAAUAAACUAGUGGCAAUGGCAAACGGUUCCAAGACGAGGUGGGACACCGAGGCUUUGUGUAACAGGGGAAUAGAUGCACUCAAUGCUGGCGGCUGUUGACUUGUAUUUCUCUCUAACAAUUUAAAUCACCAGCUUGCUUCAUCCAUCUAUAAAUAAGGGUCUUCUUCAGUUUCAUAAAUGCAUAGAAAAUUAACAAGCUCAAAUUCCUUCUUUUCAUAUUCAUCUCUUUUACUUUGAAUUGCAACUUUAUCCUGCCUAAAUUCCUCAACCAUGAACCACCCAUCAGGACAGCCUCAAAAUGAACUUCCUUGGUCCGCCGGAUUCUGCGAUUGUUGCUCUGACCUGAAAACUUGUAACCCUUUCUUCUUUCUUCAAUAUCAGUUCUGUCUUUUUAAUUAUAUGAAUUAGUUUAUCAAUUAAAUAUAUGGACAUUUCAGGUUGCAUUUCAUACUGGUGCCCAUCCAUCACCUUUGGCCAGAUUGCUGAGAUUGUUGAUAAAGGGUCGACUUGUAAGUUAUUAAUUUCUAAAUUGAAAUCUUAUCAUCUUAGGUUUUGCAGACAUAUAUAUAUUUAAAGAGAUAUUAUGUAAUUAAUAAUAAUGUUGAAAAACACUGUUGGAUGGUGCAGCAUGUCGGGCAAGUAGGGCACUAUACACAUUAAUAAUGUUCAUCACCGGGUGUGGGUGCUUAUAUUCUGGCUGCUACCGAUGCAAACUGAGAAAGCAGUAUAACUUGAAAGGAGGCGAUUGUGGCGAUUGCAUGCGUCAUUUCUGCUGCGAGCCUUGUGCCUUGACACAAGAGUAUCGUGAGCUCCAGAACCGUGGAUUCGACAUGUCUAUCGGUAUGUCUACAUACCAAUAUUAUACCCCUUUUAAUUAUUCUUAAUAUAACUUCAAGUAUAUUAAUUGAGUAGCUGUAAACAAAUAUCUCCGAAUAAAUAUGUUGGUAAUGAUGAGAUAAAUUAUUGUUUGAGGUCAUUAAUUUUGUGGGGGUAUAUUUAUAUAUGCAGGUUGGCAUGCAAAUGUGGAGAAGAACCCAGGGCUGGCAAUGGCUCCAGCGGUAGAAAAAGGCAUGAGCAAAUAGAUGAUGAUGAUGAUGAGACCACUGCAUUAAUAUCAUCUUUACAUGUAACACUUAAUUCCUUGGCUUUCCAUAAUUGGUUGAUUGUACGGCUUGCCAAUUGAAUUUCAAGUUAUGUAUGUUUGUGAUUGUCAAAUAUAUUAAUAAAAAGUGUUACUAUUCAUGUUAGAUCUUCAUGAAUAAGAAUGAGAAUCGAAAAUAACUUGUAAUAUUGUGUGUGCAUGUUUGGUAUUUAGGUGAAAUACUUAGAAAGAGAGGUUGGAUUAAAUUAAUUUUUUAUUAUCAAAAUGGAUGAUUUUAAUUUUUAUAUUAAUAAAAAGAAUUAAAUAAAAUUAAUAUUUAUUGUUUUAGAAAAUGACAUCAAAUUAUUGUUUUUUAUAGUUCAAUCCAAAUAAAAUAUCUACAAAAUCAUUAAAAACUUUUAAAAUGUGACUUUGUUAAAUAGUAAAUAGCAUUUUUUUAAAAGGGUUCAUAUAUAUCGUGAUACCUAAAGUUGGCAACUUCUACUUAGUAUCUAAAUCGGUACAUAAACUUGAAAAUUGUAAGUCAACUUCGUAUUUUUAUAAGUAUGAUGAUGUUGGUGUAGUGUGAGGAAGAAGACUUGAAUGGGUUUGAUUAUUUUUAAUAAUACAGGAAUUUACAUAUUAUAAGUAAAUAGACACUCACAUUCUUUAUGUAUUAUAAGGAAGAAGACUAAGUCGAUCUACUUUGUAAUCUCAUCAAUCUUAAUUUUCUCAAUUGUUAAGGGAGUUCAAAUGAAAUACAAAAUUUUGGUAAAAAAAAGUAUCCAAUUUUGUGAAUAAAAAAUAUAUGGUAAAAAAGAUUUGGUAUCGAUACUUCGGCGCGGGUAUCAAUACUCGAUACAUUGCUUUUGGUUGGAAAGUAGUGUCUGGAACGGCCAUGGGAUGUGUUGUUUUCCAAACCGGUAAGGCGAAAAGGUUUGUGAAUUUGGUUGAAGACCAACAUGAGAAGAGGCGAAGAAGAAAACCAAAAUAUAGCAAUCGCAUCAAUGGAUGAAGAAGGAUCUAGUUGGUGCAAAUGAAGUUAAAGCAUUUGUGCUGUGUCUUCAUAAUUUCUUGUUUAGUAGUCUGUCAGAAAGUUUUUCCUAUGGUGAAAAGUUGCAUUGGUAUGUGUCUGUCUUUAUGAUUGUACCAAUUCCUCUGUAUUUCAUUGCAUUUCGUACUAUUUGUAAGGGUUUAGUUCGAGUGUAACAUCUUGUAUGGUGCAACUAUGUAUGUCUUCUUUCUUGAUUAUUGAAAUUAUAAUCAAAAUUAAUACAUGUUCUUUUUAUUAGCUUAAGGGCGUAAAAACACUUCAAAAUUUUCAAAAAAUAAAAUAAAAUUUUAAGUCCCUCUUUUUUUUACACUCAAUUGAAAUUUUUAAAAUGUAUCAAAAAUAUCUUUACAGUUCUUCAAAAAAAAAAACAAUUAAACCCCUAUUUUUUUUCCGCUCAAUUGGGUACUUGAACUUUCAUAAUGCAUCAAAAAUGCCUUAAAUUUUUUUCAAAAAAGCAAUUAAGCCCCUACUCUUAUUAAAAAUUAGAAAAAAAUCAUAAAAAUAAUAAAUUUUAGAAAAAAUUAUUAAAUUUUAAUAAAAAUUUAAAAUUUUAUUAAAAAUUAGAAUUUUUUUUUAGAAAAAUCGUCAAAAAAUAAAAAAUUAUAAAAUCCAUCAAAAAGUUUUAACAAUUAACUUUAACUAUUGAUCGUUAAAGUUAACGACCUCUAGUUUUUUCAAUUAAAGUCAUUAUGUGUCGCAACUCAACGUGACAUGUAGCGAAAAUAGAUAAAAAAGUAAAAAUCAAUAAAAGUUAUAGAAAAAUUAUAAAAUAUUUCUUUUGGUAGAAUAAUUUUUAUAAAUUUUUUUUACAAAAUUUAUAUUUCUUUACAUUUUGUAUAAUUUUCUUAUAACUUUAUAAAAUUUUAUAAAUUUUUAUAUUUCUAUAUAUUUUAAAAUUUUUUAAAAUUUUUAUAAAAUUUUACAAUUUUUAUAUAUUUUUAAUAAAUUUUUAAUAUUUGAUUUUUUAUUAAAAUUUAAUAAUAUUAUAGAUUUUAUUGAUUUUAAUUUUUUAUCUAAUUUUUAAUAAAAUUAGGGGGUUAAUUGCUUUUUUUUUAAGUUUGAGGGUCUUUUUGAUGCAUUUUGAAAGUUCAAGUACCCAAUUGACUGCAAAACAAAAAGAAAAAAAGUAGGGGCUUAAUUGCUUUUUUUGAAAAUGUUUGAGGGCUUUUUUGAUGUAUUUUGAAAGUUCAAGUACCCAAAUGAGUGCAUAAAAAGAACAGGGGUUUAGUUGCUAUUUUGAAAAAGUUUGAGGGCUUUUUGCACCUUUAAACCUCUUUUCUUUUUCUAAAUUUAAUUUAGAACCAACUUUGUGUAAAGACUUGGGAAAUUUAAUUAGCAAAAUUUCUUUCCAUGUAAAAAUUUCCCCUAUUUCUUGUUUGAAUUUAAAGCAAUACAAUAUUUUUCUAGCAAAUAAUAGAAAAUGACAGUCAAUUAAUUCCAGCAAUACAACAUUUCCAGUCUGGUGGAAAACAGCUAGGGACCAAAUUUUUAAAGUGUUGUUUACUACACACUUAGGGACCAUAUAUGUAUAUAUAUAUAUUCCAGUCUGGGUCUUUGUCGUGUUUUGUUGGUUGGCUAUGGCCUUCUUGUUGUUUCAUGGCCACUGCCCGUGAAUUAAGUCAUAUGUGGCCUUGUUUGCUAGACCUUAGUUGCUAAGUUAAAGGGAGUGAAUAGAGCACCAUAUUUCUUCUUCUGCGUGGAAAAUAAGUUGGCAUUAUGCCAAAUUCCACAUUCAUACAUAGAAAGGAAGCAAGGCCAAGUCAUUAUACUUUGUAAUCUCAUCAAUUCUAAUUAUUUCACUUCUUCAUUCUUUAGGGAGUUCAAGUGAAAUACAAAUUUUUCCACAUCCAAUCUCAUAAAUAAUCCGUCUUUGAACUUUCACAAAAAAAUAUUAAAUACCCAUUCACUUUAAUUCUACUAUUCUUAAAUCAUUCAAGUUUUGUGGAAAAUAUGCUUCUUGGAUAAAAUUAUUCAACACACAUGCCUUGAAUUUUAUGCAAUAAAAUAAAUCAAUAUAGGCCACACAUGCUUUGAAUAUUUAAGUAGUCCACAAUUUUGUUCGUUUGUGUGCAAAAUUCUACAUUGCUUGACAGCCAUACAUUCUAAGUAAAUAGACACCCACAUUGUUUACGUAUUAUGAAGAAGAAGACUAAGUCAGUCUACUUUGUAAUCUCAUCAAUCUUAAUUUUCUCAGUUAUUUAGGGAGUUCAAAUGAAAUACAAAAUUUUGGGAAAAAAAAUGUAUCCAAUUUUGUGAAUGAAAAAUAUAUGGUAAAAAGGAUUUGGUAUGGAUACUUCGGCUCGGGUAUCAAUACUCAGGGUAAGUUUAUCGAUACAUUGCUUUUGGUUGGAAAGUGGUGUUGAUAGGUGAUGACUAAAAUUUGAUAAAUUUGAAAAGUACAUGAAAUUUAACGAUUAUUGUUUGGUGAUGACUAAAAUUUUAAAAUUUGAAAAGUACAUGAACUAAAAAUGACCAAAUUAAAGUAUAAAGAUUAAGUCCACAACUUUUGCAAAGUACAAGGACUAAUAGCAGAAAUUAACCUAAAUUUCAUAUGGGUCAAUUACAAAAAUAAUCACUAAACUAUUCCUUUGGUUCUAUUCUAGUCACUCAACUAUAGAGGUGCUCAUGGGCUGAGCCAGGUCAAGCCUAAGUAUGAUAUUAAUGUAUUUUAUACUUGCUCAAGCUUGGCUCGGCCUGAAAUAUGAGCUUAAAAUUUUGCCUGAACUCAUCCAUAUUUGCAAAAGACUAACCCAAGCUCAUUUUAAGCAUGCCUAUAUAAUUUUUAAUUUUUUUUAAAUAUUUAUAUUAUAUUAUAUUAAUUAAUAAUUUAAACAUUUUUUAUUUAUUAAAAUUUUUUAUAGUCAUUUUAACAUUAUUUUAAUGUUUACAUUAUAGUAUUAUUAUAUAUUUAGUAUAAGUAUUUUUUUAAUAUGUUCUAAUUUAUAUAAUAUAAAGUAUUAUACACUUAAAAACGGGCCGGGCUGGGCUUGAGCUUUAGUUGUUACUCAACUAUUAAUUUUUUCGAUUUAGUUGUUAACCUUUUCAAAAGUAAAUAUUUUAGUCAGUCUCCUAUUAGUUGUUGUUAAAUGAGUGACGGAAAGCUAAUGUGAGCUUUUUUUAUUAGUCUAAUAACAAAUUUAGCCCUCCAAUGUUUACACAUUCUAUCAAUUUGAUCGUAAAUAUAAAAAAAAAAUCAACAAAUUUAGCCCUGAAUAUUAACAAAACUUGUCAUUUUAGUUCAAAUUCUAAAAAAUUUAAUAAAUUUAACCUUUAAUAUUUUCAAAAAAAUAGCAAUUUAGUUCUAAUUCUAAAAAUUUUAAUAUAUAUAUUUAAAAAAAUAUUUCUAAUCCUCUGUCUCACCCUUUGAUUUUUUAGAUGAGCUAAAAUCAAAAUAUAUCAUUAUGUCUUUUUGUUUUAAUGCUAAAAGAGAUAAAAAAAAAUGGAAAGCUAAAAUGGCUUUUCGUUUGUGAAGUUACAAAAUGCCAAAUAAAUUAUUAUGUCUUUUUAGUUUUAAUUUUUUACUUGAUUAAAAGAGAAAUAAUUAACGAAUGAAAAAUAAUUAUUCACAAAUAAAUUUAUCAGAAUUUAUAACAAAUGAGAUUUUAAAUUUGAAUUUAUAAAUCAAAAUUUAUAUAUAUAUAUAUAUAAAAGAAAACACAUUUUUAUGAAAUAUAAGAUUUUGUUAAAAGAAAGAGCAUAUAAAAGCAUACACGUUUUUAUGAAAUACAAGAUUUUGCUAAAAGAAAAAGCAUCCAAUUUUAAGAAUGAAAAAUAUAUGGUAAAAGCAUCCAUAACUUUUCAAUAUAAAAGAAAAAAAAGACUAACACCAAUGUUGUGGUAUUAUUUGUUGCCUAUAAAUACCAUUCCUAUCCUUCUUCUUCCUCUACAAACAUAACAUGGCCCCCUAUCUCUUUCUCUGCCUAUUCCUCUUCUUUCCCCAUCUUUAUGCUUCUUUUCUUCUUCAGAAUCUCACUCCUGCUCUUCACUAAUCCAGUUUAAGGACUCUUUUUCCAUCACAAAGGAUGCUUCCUGGUAUUUCGAUUAUAUUACUGGCCUUAAAUCUUAUCCCAAGACAAAUUCAUGGAAGGAGGGUACAGAUUGCUGCUCAUGGGAUGGGGUCACUUGUGACCACCUAAAUGCUCAUGUUAUUGCCCUUGACUUGAGCUGCAGUUGGCUAUAUGGCACCUUCCCUUCCAAUACCACUCUCUUCCUUCUUCCUCACCUUCAAAAACUCAACCUUGCCUACAAUCAUUUUAAUUCUUCCAAAAUUCCAUCCGAGUUCGGUCGGUUUACAAGCCUAUUCUACCUCAACCUUUCCAAUACAUGGUUUUCAGAAGUCCCAUCCCAAGUCUCCCACCUGUCAAAAUUGGUUUCACUUGAUCUCUCCUCUCGGAUUGAUUACUCUGGGCAAGUUACAAUUGACAAACAUGCUCUGGAGGGACUUGUUCACAACCUAACCGAGGUCAGACAUCUGUUUUUGGAUGGAAUCAACAUGACUUCUGUUAAUGCUCAUGUCUUCAUGAAUCUAUCCUCUUCUCUAAGGUCUCUCAGUCUUGCUUUUUGUGAUUUGCAAGGAAAAUUCCCAAAAAACAUUUUUGAUUUGCAAAACCUCAAUCUCCUCAACUUGAGAUACAACCAAUUGAGUGGACAAAUUCCAAGAUCAUUGGGGAACCUCUUGCAACUCACUCAUUUACACUUGUCGGGGAACCAAUUGAGUGGACAAAUUCCAUUGUCAAUUCUAAACCUAACGCAGUUGGAAUACUUGGAAAUAUCUGAAAAUUCUUUAGAAGGUUCCAUUCCAGAUGAGGUAACCGCUUUUCCUAAUCUAAUAUAUUUAUACUUAUCUGACAAUUUACUCAAUGGAACACUUCCGUCAUGGUUGUAUACUGCUCCCUGCUUAAAGGAAAUAUAUCUCUCUCAAAAUCAAUUCAGUGGGCAUAUCAAAGAAUUCCAAACCAAAUCACUAGAAUAUUUAUAUCUAGAAAAUAAUAAACUCCAAGGUCCCCUUCCAUCUUCAAUAUUCCAACUUCUCAAUCUUACCGGGCUCCUUUUAUCCUCAAAUAAUCUUAGUGGUGUCAUAGAGUUGAGCAUGUUCUCAAACCUUCCAAAUCUCAAAUAUCUUGACCUUUCAUAUAACAGCCUAUCCUUAAUAUCUAAUACUACUUCUACUGUUAAUCAUAUAUUGCCUAAUCUUACAGGCUUACAUUUGUCAUCUUGCAAUCUUAGUGAAUUCCCCCAGUUUUUAAAAGGGCUUAAAAGUUUGGAAAGCUUAGACCUCUCUUGCAACAAAAUUGAAGGCAAGAUUCCACAGUGGAUGCAAGAGGUGGGGAAUGUCUCUUUGACUUACUUCAACGUAUCUCACAACUCUUUGACAGAAGUUGAGCACUUUCCAUGGAAGAAUAUUGAAAGUCUUGACUUAAGCUCCAAUUUGAUCAGUGGAAAUCUUCCGAUUCCAGCUUCGACCAUCAAUGUCUUUCUGAUCUCAAAUAAUAGUUUCAAUGGAGAGGUCUCUUCUUUAAUCUGCAAUGCCAGUGAUCUUGAAAUUCUUGAUUUGUCCCACAAUAACUUGAGUGGAACAAUUCCGCAAUGUUUUGGAAAUUUGAGCAACAGCCUUGAAUUCUUGAAUCUGAAGAAGAACAAGUUCUAUGGGACGAUUCCUCCAAAAUUUGCAAAGGGAUGCCGAUUGACUAAUUUCAACUUAAAUGGAAAUCUGUUAGAAGGGCCAUUGACUCCAUCCAUCCUUAAUUGUAGGGGUCUGGAAGUGCUAGAUCUUGGUAACAACAAGAUCAAUGAUACAUUUCCUCAUUGGUUGGGAAGUCUUCCACAGCUACAAGUUCUUGUAUUGAAGUCAAAUCAUAUGCAUGGUUCCUUAUGUGUCAAUAGCUCCAAGUCUAGCCCUUUUUUCUCUAAAAUCCAAAUUUUUGAUCUCUCAAGUAAUUAUUUUUCUGGACCCCUACCAGUGAGAUACAUCAACAGCUUCAAGGCUAUCAUAAAUCUAGAGAAGAUUGGUAGUACAGUGUCGUACAUGGGGGUGAAUGAUGGCUUCUAUACCUAUUCCAUUGGAAUUGUUAUAAAAGGACAAUAUAUGGAAUUGGUGAAAAUUUUCACCAUGUGGAUGAUCAUUGAUCUAUCAAACAAUCAGUUUGAAGGGGGUAUUCCAGAGGUUUUUGGGAAGCUUAACUUACUGAAAGGGCUCAACCUUUCUCAUAAUAACCUUAAUGGUGGUAUCCCCACCUUAAUAGGGAAUUUGACAAGUCUUGAAUGGUUGGACCUAUCUUCAAACAGGUUGUCUGGGACGAUUCCAAAUAGAUUGGCAGAUCUGCCAUUUCUUUCGUCCUUCAAUGUUUCUGAAAAUCAACUCCAUGGUCAGAUUCCUCAAGGCAAACAGUUCAACACAUUUGGAAAUGAUUCAUAUGAAGGAAACAAGGCAUUAUGUGGAUUUCCGGUCUCAAAAGGUUGCAACAUCAUUGAGCCAGCACCUCCAAAUGUGCUUGAAAAAGAUGGCUCAAAAUCAAACAUUACUUUUGGUUGGAAAGUGGUGUUGAUAGGUUAUGGAUGCGGAGUGGUGUUCGGAAUGUCCGUGGGAUAUGUUGUUUUCCAAACUGGUAAGCCGAAAUGGUUGGUGAAUUUGGUUGAAAUCCAACAUGAGAAGAAGCGAAGAAGAAAGUCAAAGGAUGGCAGUCGCAGCAAUGGACGAAGAAGAAUCUAGUUAGUGGAAAUGAUGUUCAAGUGUUGAUGUUGUAUCUUCAUAAUUUCUUGUUUUGAAGUCUGUCAAAUUUUUUUCCUAUCGUGAAAGGCUGCAUUGCCAUGCAUCUGUCUUUUUUAUUGUAACCAUUCAUCUAUAUUUCAUUGCAUUACGUAGUAUUUGUAAGGGUUUGUUUUAAAUGUAACAUUUUGUAUGGUUCAACUAUUUAUGUCUCUUUCAUGAGUUUCAUUUUUGAGUCUCAAUAAUCUCUGCAUUCAAGAUUUUGUCAGCUUAUUAAUUGGUGGAUCAAUAAUCUUCAUGCUCAUCUCAUCAUCUUUUUCUCGAGUUAAACACAGUCACUACUAUAAUAAUUUCUUCUGUGUGGAAAAUAAUUUGGCAUUCUGCAAAUUUCCACAAUGCUUGUGGAUUACCUCUGGUUGACGGCUAUACAUAUAAAGGAAGGAAACAAGACUAUGUCAAAAUUUCCAAAAAUCAGUCAUUCAUUUUUGAACAAUUAAACAUUCGUAUUCUAUUUUUCAAAAUUGUAAAUCCUCAAAUAAUGUAAAUUAGUCCUAAAACUCAAGUUUUGAAAUCUUUACAAUUUAACCCCUUAUAGUUUCAAACUUUACUAUUUUAUGCUCAACUUUCUAAAUCUUCAUAUUUCAUGAUCAUAUAAUUUAGUUAUUACAUCAAUAUUUCAGAUUUCACUACUCAAACCCUUACUUCAUUUUGGUCCUUACUUCAAUUUUAUCAAAUUAAAUCAUUUUUCAAUUUGAAUGCAUUGAUGUGAAAUUAAGGGACCACUAAACAAUGUUGAUGCGAGUUUAGGCAAAAUUGGUGGAUCCCAUCUCCACAGCAAUUUCUUUAUGGAAGUACUUGCUUUCACACUGCAAACUUGGAUAGUUUGUGGUGGACGAUGAUGAAUCAUUUCACAAUCAAACACACCAUUUUUAAACACAUAUAUUGAAAUCAUUAUUAAAAUUAUAAUCAAAAUUAAUACAAGUUCUUUUUAUUAGCUUAAGGGCGUAAAAACUCUUCAAAAUUUUCCAAAUAAAAAAUAAAAAAUUUAAGUCCCUCUUUUUUUUUUACACUCAAUUGAGUACUUAAACUUUUAAAAUGUAUCAAAAAUAUCUUAACACUUCUUCAAAAAAAGCAAUUAAACCCCCUUUUUUUUCCGCUCAAUUGGGUACUUGAAUUUUCAUAAUGCAUCAAAAAUACCUUAAUUUUUUUUUCAAAGAAACAAUUAAGCCUCUAUUUUUUUCCUACUCAACUAGGUACUUGAACUGUCAAAAAAACAAUUAAGCACCUACUCUUAUUAAAAAUUAGAAAAAAAAUCAUAAAAAUAAGAAAAAUUUAGAAAAAAUUAUUAAAUUUUAAUAAAAAUUUAAAAACUUAUUAAAAAUUAGAAAAAAUUUUAGAAAAAUUGUCAAAAAAUAAAAAAUUAUAAAAUUUUAUAAUUAAGCACUCUUAAAAUUUUGAAAAUUCUCAUUAAUCUCACACAAAUUUAAAAUUUUUUAUUAGACCCCCAAUUUUUUUUAAAAAUGUUAUUAAACCCUUAAAUUUUUAGAAAAUUUUACCUGCCCCCUCCCAAAAAAAAAACUAGUCCCAACUCUUAGGAUCCGCCAUUGGUACUUGGUAUUAACACUAUUAGAAAAUUGCUAAAUCAACCAAUGAAAAUUUGACACAUGGAACCCUUUUUUUAAAUUAUCAAGUUACGGAUGUUCUUCAAGGGCAUGGAACUCAACUUGAAAAUUUUACUAAUUUGGUUGCAAAAAACAUUGAGGAAGCAUAUAAUGAUCUAACCCUUUUUUGUUUUGUUCUGUUUUUAAUUUGUUAUGGGAUUCUAUUGAAUGAUAAUUUUUUUUAUUUCCCAUACUUGGUUCUUCAACAACAACAUAUUCGAGAUUUUAUUUUUCUAGAAUUUUUAUAUAAAAGUUUGUAUUUUUUAAAAUAAUUUUGAGUUUUUUAUAAUUUUUAUAUAGAAUCGAGGUAAAUUGGCAAAAAAUUAUAAAAAACAAAAUACUAAAAUUGUUUAGUUAAGUGACCAAAGCGAAGAUCUACCCAUAGUUCAGUGGCUAAUUAUGUAGUUUACCCUUUCAUAAUUAAAAAAAUAGUUGUUCAGUUUUUCUUGUAUUAGAUAACAUUUUAGAUGGUAAAAACCCUCUUUAGUCCCUCUCAAUUUUGAUAUUAAGUAAAUUGGUCCAUUUUUUUUUAAAAAAAUCAAAGCAAUUUAAUCUUUGUUAAUUUCGAAAGUGAGCAACUAAGGACAAUUAAUCACAAUGUCAAUAUUUUCCAUCAAUUGUACAUAUUUUUAUUGGUAUAAUAACAAAUUUAGCUCUCCAAGUUUACACAUUCUAUCAAUUUGUUUUGAUUUAACAAAUUUAGCCCGCAACAGUUACAUAUUCUAUUAACAUUUACACAUAAUAUAUAAACAUCGAGAGCUUAAUUUGUUAUUAUAUAAAUAAAAUUAUGUACAAUUUACAGAAAGCAUUAACACAAUAAUUAAUUGUCCUUAGUUGCUCCAUUUCAAAAUUGAUAAUGAUUAAAUUGCUCUAAUUUUCUGAGAGAAACCAAUUUCUUCAAUAUAGAAAUUGAGAGGGACGAGAAAUGUGUUUUUAUCCAUUUUAGAUACUAACAAGUGUUUGGCGUAGUGGCAAGGCAUAUUACAUUCUCAAGGAGAGAAUGCGUAUUCAAACGUUGGAGAUAAUAAUAUUGUGUGGGGUAUCCACGGAUCUCGAACACAGACUGUAAAACAUAUAUAAAAAAUAAAAAGAAUAACAUCUUAAUUUAAAUAAUUAAUAAAUUUUAAUUUCAAAAAAGUAUUUUGAGAAACAUAGGUUUUAGUAAAUAGUAAAAUUGAAUCGAUAAAACAUGUCCAGUAUAUCAGAAUCAUAAAAAUACAACUUAAUUAAUUUGAAUUUAAACUUAACUCGACUCAAUUUGAUUAUAAAAAACUGAUAAUUUGAAUCCAAAAUGACAUGAUCUUGAAAUGAUUUGAAUUAAUUGUCAAACCCAAACGACAAAACUCGAAAUGAUGCAAUCCAAAAACACAAGUCAAAUGAACUAAACUAUGAAAGAAAAAAAAAACCUUACACCGACUCAAAUCCAAAAUAAUUUAAUCCUAAAAUAACCCAAAUUUUAUAUAAUAUAAACUCGAAAUAACCCGAUAAUUUUUUUCAGUCUUACUGUGUUUAUCUUUAUAAGUAUUCUUGUUUUCCUUGCCCAUACAUGUAUUGUAGUUAUCAAAAAAUAUAUUCUACUUUGGAUUUUAUUUAUAUUAAAUUUUAGGUUAAAUUCCGCUAUUACUCUCUGUACUUUAUGAAAAUGAUGGAUUUAAUCAUUGUACGUUAAUUUAAUCAAUUUUAGUCUUUGUAUUUUUUGAAUUGGUCAAUUUUAAACCAUUUACUUUUUGAAUUUUGAAAUUUUAGUCUUGAUUCAAAUAAUAUUAAUAAUAAUAAAAUCUGCUUAUUUAAAUUUAAUUAUUAGUUUUGUACUAUGUAGACAAUUAUAGAUUUAAUCCAUAUUUUUCAAUUGGGUCAUUCCAAGUCUUUAUACUUUUCAAAUUUUAAAAUUUCAAUAUUGAUGCAGAAUGCGAGUUGCUAUUAAUUAAUUGAUUUUUUUAGCCAAUGCAUGUAGAAAUAAUAAGUUGUUAUGUCAUUAUACUUAAAAUAAUAUAUUGGUUUAACCCGCUUAAAUUAUGUCUUUUUUUCCAUCUUGGGACCUAAAUUUUUUUGGGGUCAUAAGUGGUACCUAAACUACUUUUUUUUCUCCUUCAAAUUAGGGCUCCUUUGGAUCACCAGCAAGUUUCAGUGUGGUGAGAUUUAAAGAGUAAAAAAAAUUUGAACUGAAACGCAGCUCUAUUUGGGGUGUUUGGCAAGCACACCAGUAAGCAUUUUUCACCUCACUGUAACCCAAAAUAUUGGCUGGAGUUAAAAGCUUCAGUGGACUGAUUUGGAAGUCCAAAAAUAAGAGUAAUUAUUAUUUUACCCCUCCAAUUCUUCCUUUAUUAUUUAUUUUAUUUAAAACAGAUAACAUAAGUUUAAUAUGUCAUUAUUUAAUAUUAUUUAAUUUACAAUAAAAUUAUAAUUUUUAUUUAUAAAUUUAGUAUAAAUACAAUUUAAUUUAUAUUUUAUUAUUUGAUUCAAAUAUAAUCUGUAAAAAUAUUUUGAUAUUUUAUUAUGAAUAUAAUUUAAAAAUAUUUUAUUGUAUAUUUAAAAUAUUUUGAUAUUUUAUUAUGAAUAUAAUCUGUAAAAUAUUUUGAUAUUUUUGAAUUUUUCUCUAGUUUUAAUUUAUUUUUAAUUAUUUAUUAUUAAAAAUAAAUAUAAUUGUAAUAAUUUUUAAUUAUUUAUUAAUUUUGUAAUUGUUAAAUAAUUUUAAAAACUUCUAUUAUAUAUAUUUUUAAUCUAAUGUCCUUAAAAGUCAUUUUCUAUUUUCACCUCACCGCUACAACUGCGUUUGAAUCCAAACACACACUCCACCGCUGUUUCUAAUCUCACCGCUACAGUAUCCAAUCUCACCGCUACAGUACCUAAUCUCACCGCCACCGCUGUUUUUAACCUUACCGGAACUAAACACACCGCCCAUCCAAACCCACCCUUAGUAUAUUCAUUAGUUAAACUGUUAAGUCUAUUUAAAAAAGAAAGACUCGGACAACAAAUUAAUACUUAAACAAUGCUCUUUUUCCCAAGGUACCUAAUUUUUAUUUUGGCCAUGAGUAUUACUAAAACUAUUAUUCCAUUACUCAUUUUACACCAAAAUGUUAUAUCGGCUGAAAAGAUUCCAACAAAUAAUAGAUUGUAUGUCAUAUAAACUUUUAAAAAUAAUUAUUAAUUAAUUUUUUUCAUAUAAACUGAACGGUUUGACUAAUGACGGAGGUACCAAAUUAUAGUCUAGGUACCAAUUUAUGGGUUAAGCCUAUUUCUAAAAUAGACUUUUGACUAAUGGCGGUAGUAACUUGGGAAAAAAAAGUAGUUUAUGUACCACUUGUGAACAAAAAUAAGUUUAGGUACCAACAUCGUAAAAUGAGUAUAAUUUAGAUACCGAUUUAUGAGUUAAGCCUAAUAUAUUUGUUGCAUCAUUUUUUUGAAAAUAACAGAACUUAAUAAAUUUAACGGUUAUUUUUUGGUGAUGACUAAAAUUUUAAAAUUUGAAAAGUACAUGAACUAAAAAUGACCAAAUUAAAGUAUAAAGAUUAAGUCCACAACUUUUACAAAGUACAAGGAGUAAUAGCAGAAAUUAACCUAAAUUUCAUAUGGGUCACUUACAAAAAUAAUCACUAAACUAUUCCUUUGGUUCUAUUCUAGUCACUCAACUAUAAAGGUGCUCAUGAGCCGGGCCAGGUCAGGCCUAAGCAUGAUAUUAACGUACCUUAUGCUUGCUCAAGCUUGGCUCGGCCCGAAAUAUGAGCUUAAAAUUUCGCCUAAACUCAUCCAUAUUUGCAAAAGACUAACCUAAGCUCAUUUUAGGCAUGCCCAUAUAAUUUUUAGUUUUUUUUUAAUAUUUAUAUUAUAUUAUAUUAAUAAUUAAUAAUUUAAACUUUUUUUAUUUAUUGAAACUUUUUAUAUAGUCAUUUUAACAUUAUUUUAAUGUUUACAUUAUAGUAUUAUUAUAUAUUUAGUAUAAGUUUAUUUUGUUAAUCUAUUCUAAACUAUAUAAUAUAAAGUAUCAUACACUUAAAAAUAGGCCGAGCUGGGCUUGAGCUUUGAAUGUUCAAGCCUGAACUCAGCCCAAAUUUUAAACGGGCCUAAUUUUUUUACCCAAACCCAAUUUUUGGGCCUAAUAUUUUUAUCCAGACCCUCCCAAAUUUUGGGCAGCCCUUGGGCCUUGGCAAGUAGCCCAACUCAUUAACAAGUUUACUCAACUAUUAAUUUUUUCGAUUUAGUUGUUAACCUUUUCGAAAGUAAAUAUUUUAGUCACUCUCCUGUUAGGUGUUGUUAAAUGAGUGAUGGAAAGCUAAUGUGGGCUUUUUUUAUUAGUCUAAAAACAAAUUUUGCCCUCUAAUGUUUACACUUCUAUCAAUUUGAUCCUAGAUAUAAAAAAAAAUCAAAAAAUUUAGCCCUGAAUAUUAUCAAAAAUUAGCGAUUUAGUUCUAAUUCUAAAAAUUUUAAUAUAUACAUAUAUUUAAAAAAAUAUUUUUAAUCCUCUGUCUCACCCUUUGAUUUUUUUAGAGAUAUUCAAAAAUUAAAAUAUAUCAUUAUGUCUUUUCGUUUUAAUGCUAAAAGAGAUAAAAAAAAUAGAAAGCUAAAAUGACUUUUCAUUUGUAAAGUUAAAAAAUACUAAAUAAAUCAUUAUAUCUUUUUAGUUUUAAUUUUUUACUUGAUUAAAAGAGAAAUAAUUAACGAAUGAAAAAUAAUUAUUCCCAAAUAAAUUUAUAAGAAAUGAGAUUUUGCUAAAAGAAAAAGCAUGUAAAAGUAUACACGUUCUUAUGAAAUACAAAGAUUUUGCUAAAAGAAAAAGUAUCCAAUUUUAAGAAUGAAAAAUAUAUGGUAAAAGGAAGACUAAGUGGUUGUUGAAAAAUACAAAAAUUUUGAAAAUCUAAUAUCCAUAACUUUUCAAUGUAAAAGAAAAAAAUGACUGUAACACCAAUGUUGUGGUAUUAUUUGUUGCCUAUAAGUACCAUUCCUAUCCUUCAUCUUCCUCUACCAACAUAACAUGGCCUCCUAUCUCUUUCUGUCCCUGUUCCUCUUCUUUCCCCAUCUUUAUGCUUCUUUUUCUUCUUCAGGAUCUCACUCCUGCUCUUCACUAAUCCAGUUCAAGAACUCUUUUUCCAUCACAGAGUAUGCUUCUUAUCAUUGCAAUGAGAUUGCUGGCCUUCAAUCUUAUCCCAAGACAAAUUCAUGGAAGGAGGGUACAGAUUGCUGCUCAUGGGAUGGGGUCACUUGUGACCACCUAAAUGCUCAUGUUAUUGCCCUUGACUUGAGCUGCAGUUGGCUAUAUGGCAACUUCCCUUCCAAUUCCACUCUCUUCCUUCUUCCUCACCUUCAAAAACUCAACCUUGCCUACAAUCAUUUUAAUCGUUCCAAAAUGCCAUCCGAGUUCGGUCGGUUUACAAGCCUACUCUACCUCGACCUUUCCAGUACAGGGUUUGCAGGAGAAGUCCCAUCCCAAGUCUCCCACUUGUCAAAAUUGGUUUCACUUAAUCUUUCUUGGAUUGGACAACAAUUAACAAUUGACAAACAUGCUCUGGAGGGACUUGUUCACAACCUAACCGAGGUCAGGUAUCUGUUUUUGGAUGGAAUCAACAUGGCUUCUGUUAAUGCUCAAGUCUUUAUGAAUCUAUCCUCUUCUCUAAGGUCUCUCAGUCUUUCUGGUUGUGAUUUGCAAGGAAAAUUCCCAAAAAACAUUUUUGAUUUGCCAAACCUCAAUCUCCUCAACUUUGGAGACAACCAAUUGAGUGGACAAAUUCCAAGAUUAUUGGGGAACCUCUUGCAACUCACUUCUUUAGACUUGUCGUUGAACCAAUUGAGUGGACAAAUUCCAUUGUCAAUUCUAAACCUAACGCAGCUGGAAUUUUUGGCAAUAUCUGAAAAUUUAUUAGAAGGUUCCAUUCCAGAUGAAGUAACCGCUUUUCCUAACCUAAAAUUUUUAUACUUAGAUAACAAUUUACUCAGUGGAACACUUCCGUCAUGGUUGUAUACUGCUCCCUCAUUAGACAGUAUAGGUCUCUCUCAAAAUCAAUUCAGUGGGCAUAUCAAAGAAUUCCAAUCCAAAUCACUAGAAUGGAUAGCGUUAGAGAAUAAUAAACUCCAAGGUCCUCUUCCAUCUUCAAUAUUCCAACUUCUCAAUCUUACCCGCCUCUUUUUAUCCUCAAAUAAUCUUAGUGGUGUCAUAGAGUUUCGCAUGUUCUCAAACCUUCCAAAUCUCGACCUUCUUGACCUUUCAUAUAACAGCCUAUCCUUAACAUCUAAUACUACUUCUACUGUUAAUCAUAUAUUGCCUAAUCUUACAAUGUUAUUUUUGUCAUCUUGCAAUCUUAGUGAAUUCCCCCAAUUUUUGAAAGGGCUUAAAAGGUUGGAAAUGUUAGACCUCUCUUGCAACAAACUUCAAGGCAAGAUUCCACAGUGGAUGCAAGAGGUGGGGAAUGUCUCUUUGACUUUCUUAAACGUAUCUCACAACUCUUUGACAGAAGUUGAGCACUUUCCGUGGAAUAAUAUUGCAGUUCUGGACUUAAGCUCCAAUUUGAUCCGUGGAAAUCUUCCGAUUCCAGCUUCGAAGAUCAAUGUCUUUCUGAUCUCAAAUAAUAGUUUCAAUGGAGAGGUCUCUUCUUUAAUCUGCAAUGCCAGUGAUCUUGAAAUUCUUGAUUUGUCCCACAAUAACUUGAGUGGAACAAUUCCGCAAUGUUUUGGAAAUUUGAGCAACAGCCUUGAAUUCUUGAAUCUGAAGAAGAACAAGUUCUAUGGGACGAUUCCUCCAACAUUUGCAGAGGGAUGCCAAUUGAGUAAUUUCAACUUAAAUGGAAAUCUGUUAGAAGGGCCUUUGACACCAUCCAUCCUUAAUUGUAAUGAUCUGGAAGUGCUAGAUCUUGGUAACAACAAGAUCAAUGAUACAUUUCCUCAUUGGUUGGGAAGUCUUCCACAGCUACAAGUUCUUGUAUUGAAGUCAAAUCAUAUGCAUGGUUCCUUGCGUGUCAAUAGCUCCAAGUCUAGCCCUUUUUUCUCUAAAAUCCAAAUUUUUGAUCUCUCAAGUAAUUAUUUUUCUGGACCCCUACCAGUGAGAUACAUCAACAGCUUCAAGGCUAUCAUAAAUCUAGAGAAGAUUGGUAGUACAGUGUCGUACAUGGGGGUGAAUGAUGGCUUCUAUACCUAUUCCAUUGGAAUUGUUAUAAAAGGACAAUAUAUGGAAUUGGUGAAAAUUUUCACCGUGUGGAUGAUCAUUGAUCUAUCAAACAAUCAGUUUGAAGGGGGUAUUCCAGAGGUUUUUGGGAAGCUUAACUUACUGAAAGGGCUCAACCUUUCUCAUAAUAACCUUAAUGGUGGUAUCCCUACCUCAAUAGGGAAUUUGACAAGUCUUGAAUGGUUGGACCUAUCUUCAAACAGGUUGUCUGGGACGAUUCCAAAUAGAUUGGCAGAUCUGCCAUUUCUUUCGUCCUUCAAUGUUUCUGAAAAUCAACUCCAUGGUCAGAUUCCUCAAGGCAAACAGUUCAACACAUUUGGAAAUGAUUCAUAUGAAGGAAACAAAGGAUUAUGUGGAUUUACGGUCUCGAAAGGUUGAAACAUCAUUGAGCCAGCACCUCCAAAUGUGCUUGAAAAAGAUGGCUCAAAAUCAAACAUUACUUUUGGUUGGAAAGUGGUGUUGAUAGGUUAUGGAUGCGGAGUGGUGUUCGGAAUGUCCGUGGGAUAUGUUGUUUUCCAAACUGGUAAGCCGAAAUGGUUGGUGAAUUUGGUUGAAAUCCAACAUGAGAAGAAGCGAAGAAGAAAGUCAAAGGAUGGCAGUCGCAGAAAUGGACGAAGAAGGAUCUAGUUAGUGGAAAUGAUGUUCAAGUGUUGAUGUUGUAUCUUCAUAAUUUCUUGUUUUGAAGUCUUUCAAUUUUUUUCCUAUGGUGAAAGGUUGCAUUGGCAUGCAUCUGUCUUUGUUAUUGUGACAAUUCAUCUAUAUUUCAUUGCAUUACGUGGUAUUUGUAAGGGUUUGUUUUAAAUGUAACAUUUUGUAUGGUUCAACUAUUUAUGUCUUCUUUCAUGACUUUUAUUUUUGAGUCUCAAUAAUCUCUGCAUUCAAGAUUUUGUCAGCUUAUUAAUUGGUGGAUCAAUAAUCUUCAUGCUCAUCUCAUCAUCUUUUUCUCGAGUUAAACACAGCCAAUACUAUAACAAUUUCUUCUGUGUGGAAAAUAAUUUGGCAUUCUGCAAAUUUCCACAAUGCUUGUGGAUUGCCUUUGGUUGACAGCUAUACAUAUAAAGGAAGGAAACAAGACCAUGUCAAAAUUUCCAAAAAUUAGUCAUUCAUUUUUUAAAAUUGUAAAUUCUCAAGUAAUGUAAAUUAGUCCUAAAACUCAAGUUUUGAAAUCUUUACAAUUUAACCCCUUACUAUUUUAUGCUCAACUUUCUAAAUCUUCAUAUUUCAUGAUCAUAUAAUUUAGUUACUACAUCAAUAUUUGAGAUUUCACUACUCAAACCCUUACUUCAUUUUGGUCCUUACUUCAAUUUUAUCAAAUUAAAUCAUUUUUCAAUUUGAAUGCAUUGAUGUGAAAUUGAGGGAGCACUAAACAAUGUUGAUGCGAGUUUAGGCAAAAUUGGUGGAUCCCAUCUCCUUAGUAAUUUCUUUAUGGAAGUAGCUGCUUUCACACUGCAAACUUGGAUAAUUUGUGGUGGACGAUGAUGAAUGAUUUGACAAUCAAACACAUAAUUUUUAAACACAAAAUUAACGAUAUAUUGAAAUCAUUAUUGAAAUUAUAAUCAAAAUUAAUACAUGUUUUUUUUAUUUGCUUAAGGUGUAAAAACCCUUCAAAAUUUUCAAAAAUAAAAAUAAAAAUUUAAGUCCCUCUUUUUUUUUUUAACACUCAAUUGAGCACUUAAACUUUUAAAAUGUGUCAAAAAUAUCUUUACACUUCUUCAAAAAAAGCGAUUAAACUCUUUUUUUUUUCGCUCAAUUGGGUGCUUGAACUUUCAUAAUGCAUCAAAAAGACCUUUUUUUUUCAAAGAAACAAUUAAGCCUCUAUUUUUUUCCCACUCAAUUGGGUACUUGAACUUUCAUAAUGCAUCAAAAAGCAAUUAAGGCCUUUUUCAUGCAUUAUGAAAGUUCAAGUACCGAAUUGAGUGCAAGAAAAAAAAAGUAGGGGCUUAAUUGCUUUUUUUGAAAAUGUUUGAGGGCCUUUUUGAUGUAUUUUGAAAGUUCAAGUACCCAAAUGAGUGCAUAAAAAGAACAGGGGUUCAAUUGCCAUUUUUGAAAAAGUUUGAGGGCUUUUUGCACCCUUAAACCUCUUUUCUUUUUCUAAAUUUAAUUUAGAACCAACUUUGAGUAAAGACUUGGGAAAUUUAAUUACCAAAAUUUCUUUCCAUGCAAAAAUUUCCCCUAUUUCUUGUUUGAAUUUAAAGCAAUACAAUAUUUUUCUAGCUAGUAAUAGAAAAUGACAGUCAAUUCAUUCCAAGCAAUGCAAAAUUUCCAGUCUGGUGGAAAAUUUGUUUCUUAGAUACUAUUAUUCAACUUUUAAGGCAUAAGUUUGAAUAUAGGGACUACAUUUUUAAAGUGUUGUUUACUACACACUUAGGGACCAUAUAUGUGUAUAUAUAUAUAUAUAUAUUCCAGUCUGGGUCUUUGUCGUGUUUUGUUGGUUGGCUAUGGCCUUGUUGCUGUUUCCACUGUCUGUGGUCUUUGUUUCUAAGUCAUAUGUGGCCUUGUUUGCUACAACUUAGUUGCUAAGUUAAAGGGAGUUAAUAGAGCACCAUUUUCUUCUUUUGCGUGGAAAAUAAGUUGGCGUUAUGCCAAUUUCCACAUUCAUACAUAUAAUGGAAGCAAGAGCAAGUCAAUAUACUUUGUAAUCUCAUCACUUCUUCUUCUUUCUUUGGGGAGUUCAAAUGAAAUACAAAUUUUGAGUAAAUCAACUAUUCAUUGACGGUACAAACGAGUUAAAAUUUCCAGCAUUCAUGUCUUUGUUUUCCCUCAAGUAAACGUAGUCAAUACUGCAAAUGGUGUGGAAGUAUUGUACAUUGUGGCCCAAAUGUCCAAAAUUUCCCCAUUGCUUGUAAAUGAAAUUUGGGUGAGAGAGAUGGGAGGAAGCAACAGCAAGUGUGAAGUCAAUAGACAAUUGACAGUCUUUAUUCUUUUGUGUGGAAAAUUAUUUGGGACCAAACUUGACUUGUUAUAAGGAAGAAGACUUUGUAAUCUCAUAAAUGUUAAUUAUUUUACUUCUUUGGUAAAAAAAAAAGUAAUCAAUUUUAUGAAUGAAAAAUAUAUGGUAAAGAGGAAGUAGUUGUUGAUCACUAAUAACAUGAUGAUUGUGGAAAUACAAAAAUUCCCGUAUAUGUGUUGAAUUCUGCAUAAUGUAAAUGUCCCGCAUUGCAUGUGAAUUCUGCAAUAAACUAAACUUUACGUGUUAUAGUUCUUUAAACCGAGUUAAUGAAAAGUAACCAUUCUUAUCAAAAUUAGUUAUACUCCUAAUUUAUAACAAAGGAAAUAAUAAUUUGAGUUUAACUCAAAGGUUAAUAUGUCAUCAAUGGGCGAUGGCGUGGUGCUACCAUGUCAGCGAUUAUUUUCUUCUUUGAGUUAAGGUGAUUUCACCAAUUUUAGGUUACUUUUUUACUUCAAUUUAGGUUUAUGCUUAUUAGCUUCGAAGAUUCUAAGUGGGUGCCACAAUCAAAGGGUGAGUAAAAAGGGUUAAAAAUGAUUUUUUUUAAAAAAUAUUUUUAUUUUUUUAUUAAAAAUUUAGAAUUAGAAUUAGACAAAUUUUGUAAAUGUUAAGGCUAACUUUAUUGAAUUUUUUUUUUCAGAAUUUGAACUAAAAUGACAAAUUUUGUAAAAAGCACUAAAUUUGUUGAAUUUUUUACAUUUAGGAUCAAAUUGAUAGAAUGUGUAAAUAUUAGAGGUUAAAUUUGUUAUUAGAUGAAUAAAAAAAACCCACAUCAACUUUCCAUCACUCAUCUAACGACAACUAAAGGGAGAGUGAUUAAAAUAUUUAAUUUCAAAAAGUUUAGCAACUAAAUUGGAAAAUUUAAUAGUUGGGUGACUAUUUUUAUAGUUUACAAUUUUUUUGGUCACCUGACUAUUAAGUGACACGUUUUAGUUGGUAUAAUAAUAAUUUUAGUCCUCAAUUUUUAUACUUUCUGUCAAUUUAACUCUAAUUAUAUAAAAUGAUUACAAAAGUGAAAUUCUUUUUAAAUUUUACAAAAUUCUAAAAAUUAAAUGAAAGUAGAUAAAAAUUUCAAAUAUAAAUAAAGUGAGAGAAAAUGAGGAAAAUAUUAUUUUUAAACCCUCCAAAUUUUAUUUGUAUUAUCUGUAAAGCAAUAUCUAAUAUCCAUUCUUUUAGAAAACAUAGAAAAAGGUAAAAAAAAGCUUAAGUAAAAUUAUCUGUAUAUAAUCUGCUUUUAUAAUUUGGGUUUUUAAAAAUAAAUUUAAAUGAAUUGAAAAUUUGAAUUGAGUUUGAAAAAGAAAAUUUUGUGGUAUAUUUUAUAUUUUUGCUAGAAAAAUAGCAUCAAAGUCGAUUUCGUAAGCUUUUGUAAUAUCAGUUACGGAUGUUCUUCAAGGGCAUAGAACUCAACUUGAAAAUUUUACUAAUUUGGUUACAAAAAAACAUUGAGGAAGCAUAUAAUGAUCUAACUUUUUUUUUCUGUUUUUAAUUUGUUAUGGGAUUCUAUUGAAUGAUAAUUUUUUUUAUUUCCCGUAUUUAGUUCUUCAACAACAACAUAUUCGAGAUUUUAUUUUUCUAGAAUUUUUACAUAAAAGUAAAGUUUGUAUUUUUUAAAAUAAUUUUGAGUUUUUUAUAAUUUUUAUAUAGAAUCGAGGUAAAUUGGCAAAAAAAUUAUAAAAACAAAAUACUAAAAUUGUUUAGUUAAGUGACCAAAACGAAAAUCUACCCAUAGUUCAGUGACUAAUUAUGUAGUUUACCCUUCAUAAUUAAAAAAAUAGCUGUUAAGUUUUUCUUGUAUUAGAUAACAUUUUAGAUGGUAAAAACCCUCUUUAGUCCCUCUCAAUUUUGAUAUUAAGUAAAUUGAUCCAUUUUAAAAAAAAAAUCAAAGCAAUUUAAUCUUUGUUAAUUUCGAAAGUGAACAACUAAAGAUAAUUAAUCACAAUGUCAAUAUUUUCCAUCAAUUGUACAUAUUUUUAUUGGUAUAAUAACAAAUUUAGCUCUCGAAGUUUACACAUUCUGUCAAUUUGGUCUUGAUUUAACAAAUUUAGCCCGCAACAAUUACAUAUUCUAUUAACAUUUACACAUAAUAUAUAAACAUCGAGAGCUUAAUUUGUUAUUAUAUCUGUAAUACCCAAAUUUUGCCCGGCCCAAGCCCAAGUAUCAAAACCCAAAUAAAAAAUAUACAUAAUAAAAGUCCAAUAACAUCAGUCCAGAUUACAAACCAAAUAAAUUAAGCCCAAACUCGAUUACAAAGUCCAAAUUCCCAAGCACAAACUGUUAACCCAACACUCCAGCCCCAAAUUAUUAGCCCAAAAUCAAACCCACUAAGCCUAAUCAGCCAACCCUAACCCGAACGGCCUACAUACCUAGCCCUAAAACAUUUUCAAAAAAACCUAAAGCAACUAUUUGCCUCAGCCGCCGCAACAGUAGCCUCCCACACGCGCGCCUCUCAUUAUCUUGAAGUAUCUUUUUGAAAUUGAUUAUUAAUUUAUGGGGUGCUUAAUUAUUGAUAUUAGUAUUUGUAUGAUAUGACUAAAAUAAUUAUUGUUAUUUGCAUUUACCUAUUAUUUGUUUGUCUUCUUAAUGUAUGUUUGGGUUGUUAUUUAUCCUUUUCGUUAUGUAUUGCUAUUCAAUCAUGUUUCAUUUGUAAGAAUUGUAUUUUUAAAGCACAACAGAUCAUUCUAUUUCAUAAUUUUCAAAAAGGCCUGAUGUUCAUAGCUCUCGAGAGAAUUGUGCCCUAACUUACUGGGCUUCAAUUCUUCUCGAUGAAUUUGAAUAGCCAAGUGUUUAUUGUAUUAAAACCACACAACUUUUAAAAUAAAGUUUUCAAGAUUUUAAAUUGUUGGAUCCUAACUUACUGGAUGUGGCAUUUUGUUAUCCCAAUUUUAAAAUAAAGGCAAUGUUUGACGUUUAAGAACUUCGAGAAAUCGAAACCUAACUUACUGGAUUCUGAUUUCUCAUUUGACUUAAAUGACCGAAUAGCCUUCUCAAAAUGCAUGAAUUUUAAAAUUUGAAAAUUAAAAAGACAUACUUAAUUUUGACGAUUGAAUCGUUGCACUCUAACUUACUGAGUGUGGCAAUUUAUUUCUUUGAAAUGAGUGUGUUUUAUUAUUCAAAUUUAAACUUUAAAAGGAUCGUAUUUUUCGACACUAAGACAUUAAACAAUCGAUUCGGUACCAAUUUUGGGCGUUACGAGGGUACUAACCCUUCCUCGUGCGUAACCGACUCCCGAACCUAUUUUCUCAAAAUUCGUAGACCUAAAAUUAUUUUCAAGGUGAUCCGGUCACACCUCAACAAAAGAUCGGUGGCGACUCCCAUUUUCAUUUUCAAAGUCGAUUCCCAUUUUUAAAACAUAAAAAAUGGUUUCGGCAAUAUCAAUAAAAAUUAUGUACAAUUUACAGAAAGCAUUAACACAAUGAUUAAUUGUCCUUAGUUGCUCCCUUUCAAAAUUAAUAAUGAUUAAAUUGCUCUAAUUUUCUGAGAGGAACCAAUUUGUUCAAUAUAGAAAUUGAGAGGGACGAGAAAUGUGUUUUUAUCCAUUUUAGAUACCAACAAGUGUUUGGCGUAGUGGCAAGGCAUAUUACAUUCUCAAGGAGAGAAUGCGUAUUCAAACGUUGGAGAUAACAAUGUUGUGUGGGGUAUCCACGGAUUUGAACACGGACUAUAAAACAUAUAUAAAGAAUAAAAAGAAUAACAUCUUAAUUUAAAUAAUUAAUAAAUUUUAAUUUGAAAAAAGUAUUUUGAGAAACAUAAGUUUUAGUAAGUAGUAAAAUUGAAUCGAUAAAACAUGUCCAUUAUAUCAGAAUCAUAAAAAUACAACUUAAUUAAUUUGAAUUUAAACUUAACUCAACUCGAUUUUGAUUAUAAAGAACUGAUAAUUUGAAUCCAAAAUGACAUGAUCUUGAAAUGAUUUGAAUUAAUUGUCAAACCUGAACGACAAGACUCGAAAUGAUGCAAUCCAAAAACACAAAUAAAAUGAACUAAACUAUGAAAGAAAAAAAAAACCUUACACCGACUCAAAUCCAAAAUAAUUUAAUCAUAAAAUAACCCAAAUUUUAUAUAAUAUAAACUCGAAAUAACCCAAAAAUUUUUAAAUUAAAAUUGACCCGACCCAAAUUCACACCACCUAAAAUCAAUCGUAACCACCUAAUUAAAAAGCAUGAAAUGAAAUGAUGUAAAGAGAAAAUUAGAGAAAACCAAAUAGAAAGUAACAAGCUUUUUUCAGAAUUGAAAGCAAAUUCCGUACAUUCACGACAUGCAUAAAACAACAAUGGUUUAUAGAAUUUGAGUUUUAGUCCCUGUACUUUAAAAGUUAAUUUUUCUUAAUUUAAAAAUUUUAGUUUAAUCAUUCAUGUUGGUUGUAGUUUCCAUUAGCUUAAUCAACAUGUUAAAUUAUUAAAUUUUGAUAUAAAAUAUUUACGAGUUUAAUAAUUAUACUGAGAUUUUUAAAUAAAAAAGUUGGAAGACUUAAUUUCUAACAUUUUAAAUAUAGGGACUAAAAGCAUCUUUUAACUUUGAUAUUAUUAUUAUAAGCAGGGAUAAUGUCAUCUUUGGCAUCUGUACUUUUAUAAAAUGUCUAGUGGUACAAGUACUUUGAAAAUAUAUAAUGUGGUACCUGAACUAUCAAUAUGUGUUAUUAUUAUGGUACAUGUACUUUGAAAAUGUUUAAUGUGGUACCUAAACUAUCAAUAUAUAUUUUAUUAUGAUACUUGAUAAAGAUGGACUAUUAUUGGUAGCUUAAGGGGCUCUUUGUCCCGCCAUCCCUGCAAAAAAAAAAUUGGAGAAUUUUGUUUUUUCCUUUAAAAUUUUUAGAAAAUUUCAAUUAAGCCCUCAAAAUUUUUGAAAAUUUUCAUUAUACCUUUUAAUUUUUUAAAAAAUUUUAAUUAAGCACUCUUAAAUUUUGAAAAUUCUCAUUAAUCUCACAAAAAUUUUAAUUUUUUUAAAAAAAAUAUUAUUAAACCAUUAAAUUUUUAGAAAAUUUUACCUGCCCCCUCCCCCAAAAAAAAACCUAGUCCCAACCCCUAGGAUCCGCCAUUGGUACUUGGUAUUAACACUGUUAGAAAAUUGCUAAAUAAACCAAUGAAAAUUUGACACAUAGAACCCUUUUUUUAAUUAUCAAGUCCACGUGGAUAAAAUAAUAGUGAAAAACUAAAUAAAACAAUAAUUAAAUGAAAUAAAAAAACAAAUAACUAAACAUAUGGUUAAUAAAAAAAAGCCGUACUUUCAAAGAUAAUAAAAAAUAUUAUUUAAAAAUCAAUUGAAAAUAUUAUUUUAAAAGGAAAACUCUUUGGAGAAGAUGAUCAUUUGCUUAAAUGGAGAAUAUAAUAUUUUUGGUUAUGCAAGUUUAGUAUUUACUUCUUUUUUAUUAAUCAUAUGUUUAGUUUUUUUAAUUAAUUUAAUUGUUUUAUUUAGUUUUUCACAUAAUGUUAUUUUACACAUGCGGACUUGAUGAAUUAGAAAAAAAUAUUACGUGUUAAAUUUUCAUUGGUUGGUCUAAUAAUUCAUUAACGGUGGAUUUGUUCUACAUUGAUGACAAAGAUGUGGAGUUUAAAGAAGUAAGAACUUAUCAACAAUAUUCGAGGUUCUGUUGUAUGUUGCCUUAUUAAAGAAGUCUUCACUUAAAAUCUUCUAUGUUGCCUUAUGUAUGUAGGUUCUUGAGUCACCUUUGCCAAAAGCACCACAUGAUACAUCUGUUACAUCCCACUGGCUUGCGAUUUAAGGCAUUCAACCAGUAAUUCCAGAAAAUGCUUCAAUUGAAGGUACCGUCUUAGCUAACCUAAAUAUUCUCUCGAAGCUAUUUGUGUUGAAGACUCUCAUGGUUCAUGUUCUUUUCUGGUUUUAUCACUUUAAUCUAAUACGAGUUAUCUUCAUUUCUACAUGGAAUUGGUAUUUUGCUUUCCAUGCAGCACCUUCUGAUGGUAAAAAGGCUGAAUACAAAGAAGAUGGGCUUUCCGUUGAUGUCAAAUUAUUUGUUAAACAUGUAUUAUCUAGAGAGCUUCAAGUAUGUUGUACAUCUUCAGCAACAUUUUUAUGUUAAAAUACAUUUUGCACAGAAUGAUAUUAAAAGACUAAUUUGGUUGUCAUGCAGCUUUACUUUGACAAGAUCGUGGACAUUACCAUGAAUAAAUCAGUAUCAAUUCUCUUUAAACAAGCAUUACUGAGUUUGGCAACAGACUCGGGAUUACAUCCUUUAGUUCCUUAUUUUACAUAUUUCAUUGCGGAUGAGGUUGUCUUAAAGAUCUUUCAUACCUCAUUAUAUAUGUGUGUUGCAAAGAACUUUUGGUUGGUUAUCUCAAGCUUACAUUUUUGCCACAUUUAUCUCAGGUUGCACGGAAUUUGAAUAAAUUCCCUCUCAUGUUUGCUUUGAUGCGUGUUGCCCGGAGUCUUCUCGAGAAUGAACACUUACACAUAGAACCUUACGUGAGUUUAUUAUUUCAAUCAUUUAGAAGUACACGAACUAAUGCAAAUAUGCUAGUGGUUUAUUUUCCACCUAUCUGAUUUUUUAAAAUGUUCUUCAGUUACACCAGUUGAUGCCAUCUAUUAUUACCUGCCUUGUUGCAAAAAGGUUAGGAAAUAAAUUCACCGACAAUCAUUGGGAACUUAGAAACUUUGCAGCAAAGCUAGUGGCAUCAAUAUGCAAAAGGUGAAGAUUUCUUUUCUUUUGGACUUAUACAUGCAUAUUCGUUUUUAUGAAUUUCAGGUGUCGAGUUUUUAGUUAUAAACUUGGACCUAUUCUUCAAAUCAUGUGUAUAUCAUUUUUAUGCUAUUUCACACAUGCAAAACAAAUGGUGCAAGCAUGCAUGUUAUAUGCACAGAAUUGUUGAAAGCUGGACUGCAAUGCAACAUGGAGCCAGAAGCAUGCAACUGUCGAGACCAGCAGCUAUCAAGCUCAGCUCAUUUUGCUUGGAGCGCACGAAUGGUUUUUGGACCAAAUGAAGCAACUGACAUUGCUGUUUUGUUUUGAUGUAAUUUAGUUCAGUUUGAUUGUAACUAGCUUUAAUAGUUAGUAGGAUUAAGUUAGUGAUUAGAUAGCUGAUGUAAAAGCUGAUAUGGCAGCUCAUUUUGUAUUUGACUUUAACUUAUUUUGGUUGUAAAUUAGUGGAUGCAGUUAGAUUAGUAGGUAACUAUCAAAUGAACAAAUUGUAACUCCUUUUUAUUUCAAAAAAUUUUGGAUGAAACGUAAUAAUGUUCAGUUACAAUUCUGGCUGUACAUUCAAGUUUCUUGCUUGCUGCUCUGCUUGUUUUUCUUUUCUGCUUCGUUUACUCUUGCUUCUGCUUGCAAAUCUCUUUGUUGCUGCUGCCAUUGUUCCAACAAGAAUACAUAGAUUAAUUACGUGUGGAUCAUUAAGAAUGCCUAUGUAUUGGAAAUUGGCCAACCAUGCUGCUGUUACAUUUUGUGUUGAAGUGCAUGCAGCUUGAUGACAUGCUGCAGCACAUAUGCUUGCUGUAACAGCAAGGUUUCUCUUUAGUUUCAUCCUAAUUAAACUAGUUGAAAAUGAACAAGUUGAUGACAACUUGAUGCAUGAGGUGUUGAAUGAUUAGUUUAGGUGGCUUGUUUAUGUGUACAAGCAAUGUUUUAAUAGUCCCAAUGCUGAUUAGUGGGGUUAGUUGACUAUUUGGUGAUGUAUUUGACUAUAAAUGUAUGUUUUUUUUCGUUGAAUGAAUGAGCUGAAUAAGCUAUCAGCCAUAUGCUCCCUUGCUGCACAUUUGUGAGCAAGUAAAAAUACUUCUUGCAUCUUGCUUCAUUGUUCUGUGCUCUCUGUUCUCUUCUUUUGCUGCUGCCAAUGCUCCAACACUAUGUUUGACCAUUGUGUGUGGCUACUUUUUUUUUACAUGAUCCAAUUUUCGAUAUGAUAUGCUUUGCUUUUAGGUUGAAUGCGGAAAAGAUUAGAACUUAAUUUCCAGCAUAAUGAUUUGUCUUGGAUAUGCAGAUUUUUACAUGCAUUUCUUAAAAGUCAAUAUUUUAUAGAUUCGGGCAUGUUUAUCACAACCUUCAGCCACGUGUGACAAGGACACUGCUCCACGCUUUUUUGGACCCAACGAAAACAUUUCCCCAGCAUUACGGAGCAAUUCAAGGGUUAGCAUGUUAGAAAUCAAACCCACUCCAAGCAUAAUCUAGAAGCAUGAGACGUGGAGCAAUUUUGUGCCAUGCAAAGUGCUGAAAUUUUAGCCAUACAAAGUGCUCCAUUAUUGAGAUGUUUUGUGGCUGGAAAUUAAGUGGAUUAAUAGCCACAUUUGUUGUCACUUUAUCAGCCUAUAAAUAGAGGCUUGAACUUGUGUUGUAAAAAAGAAGAAAAAUGAGAAGAAAAAAGAAAUAAGAGAAGCAACGUGAGUGAGAGUGAGAAGGUUAGCAAACCUUGAGUGAGUUAAAAUCUAGCAGCAGCUAGACUAUCUAGUCAUUGAGAAAAUAUUUGUAAUCUUCGUAUUGUAAUAUAUUGAGUGUGUAAUAAAAAGUAAAUUUUCGGCCCAUCACGUUUCCAACAAGUGGCAUCAGAGCUACGGUUCGGAGCUUGGUUCGGAGUUCGGUUCGUGUCCGGUUCGUGUCCAGUUCGGAGUACCUUUGGUGUUCAUCUAACAAGUCGAUAUGGGCGACGUAAUUCAGCUACAAGUUCCACAAUUGACGAAGACAAAUUAUGGAAAUUGGAGCAUUCGAAUGAAGGCUUUGCUCGGUUCGCAAGAUUGUUGGGAGAUCGUUGAAAAAGGAUACAUCGAGCCCGGAGAUGCCGCUACAGAAGCAGCUUUAUCAAAUGACGCUAAGAAGGCGUUACGAGAAGCACGAAAGAAGGAUCAAAAGGCCUUGAAUAGUAUCUUUCAAGGUAUGGAUGAAUCAACCUUCGAGAAAAUAUCAGAUGUGAAGAACGCGAAGAAUGCAUGGGAGAUUUUGCAAAAAUCAUUUCAAGGUGUAGAAAAAGCUAAAAAGGUACGCCUUCAGUCACUUAGAGCUGAAUUUGAAAUGUUAAAAAUGAAGAGCUCCGAGAAUAUCGAUGACUAUGCCAAUCGUGUAAAAUCGGUGGUAAAUGAAAUGAAACGAAAUGGAGAAACUCUUGACGAGGUAAGAAUGAUGGAGAAAAUUCUACGGUCACUCACACGCAAAUUCGAGUACGUAGUCGUUGCCAUCGAAGAAUCAAAAGAUUUGUCAAAGAUGUCGCUCGAAGAACUUGUGGGUUCUCUGCAAGCCCAUGAGCAAAAGAUGAAGCUAAAUGAAGAUAGUGAAAAUCUUGAUCAAGCCUUGCAUAGCAAGUUGUCCGUCGACGACGGAGAAACAAGUAAUAACUUUAACCAAGGAAGAGGAAACCGCAGAGGAUACCGUGGAGGCUACCGUGGUGGAAACAGAGGAGGAAGAGGAUCACGAGGACGUGGAAAUCAAUCAUAUGGGAGAUAUCAAGAAAAUAAAGAUUAUCAAACAUCCAACCGUGGACGUGGAUCUAGAGGUCGUGGCCGAGGCAGAUUUCAAGAAAAUAAAUCUCAGGUACAAUGCUACAACUGUAACAAGUAUGGACAUUUCAGUUACGAGUGCAGAUCAACACACAAAGUGGAUGAAAGAAACCAUGUAGCAGUCAUAGCAGAAGGCAACGAAAAAGUGGAAUCAAGUGUCUUUCUCACUUACGGAGAAAAUGAAGAUCGCAAGAGAAGUGUGUGGUAUCUCGACAACGGUGCAAGCAACCACAUGUGUGGAAGAAAGGAGCUGUUCACAGAAUUAGAUGAAACAGUUCAUGGACAAAUAACUUUUGGAGACAACUCACAUGCAGAAAUCAAAGGAAAGGGCAAGGUUGUUAUAACACAAAGGAAUGGAGAGAAGAAGUACAUCUCAGACGUUUACUACGUACCAGCUUUGAAGAGCAACCUGAUCAGUCUUGGUCAACUCCUAGAAAAAGGAUAUGAAGUUCAUAUGAAAGACCGCUCACUCGCCAUCAGGAACAAAAGUGGAGAAUUAGUUGUUCGAGUUGAUAUGACGCGAAAUCGUCUUUUCACCCUCGACAUCGAGUCUGGAGAAGUAAAAUGCAUGAAGACGGAUCUGAAGAAUGAAUCAUGGUUGUGGCACUUAAGGUACGGACAUCUCGGAUUUUCUGGCUUGAAGCUGUUGUCGAAGACAAAUAUGGUGAAUGGAUUACCAAGUAUUAAUCAUCCAGAUCAACUGUGUGAAGCCUGUGUCAAAGGAAAGUAGCAUAGGCAGAAAUUUGAAGUAGGAAAAUCUCGAAGAGCUAGAAGACCAUUGGAAAUUGUACACACCGACAUAUCUGGUCCGUACGACAUUGAAUCACUCGGUGGAAACAGGUACUACCUAACUUUUAUUGAUGAUUAUAGCAGAAAAUGUUGGGUUUAUUUUCUCAAAGCAAAAUCGGAAGCCCUAGAAAAAUUCAAGGAGUUCAAAGCAAUGGUGGAAAAACAGAGUGGUCGAUAUUUGAAGAUACUCAGAUCCGAUAGAGGAGGCGAGUAUACUGCAAAGCUUUAUGAAAGUUUCUGCAAAGAUCAUGGAAUCAUUCAUCAGUUAACAGCCAGACGCACUCCACAACAAAACGGAGUUGCAGAAAGGAAGAAUCGGACAAUUCUGGAUAUGGCAAGAAGCAUGAUAAAAGGUAAACACCUUCCGAGAAAUUUCUGGGCUGAAGCCGUUGAAUGCGCAGUUUAUCUGUUGAAUCAAUGUCCAACAAAAAGUGUAAGACACAAGACACCAGAAGAAGCAUGGAGCGAUCACAAGCCAAGAGUUGGACACCUCAAAAUUUUUGGAUGCAUUGCAUAUGCACACGUUCCUGAGCAACAGAGGAAAAAGCUUGACGAUAGAGGAGAGAAGUGUAUCUUUAUAGGCUAUGACAAAAGAAGUAAGGCCUACAGACUUUAUAAUCCUCUUACUAAGAAAUUGAUUAUCUCAAGAGAUGUCGAGUUCGAUGAAGCGGAUUACUGGAGAUGGAGUGAAGAAGAAAAGAAAGUGGAAGGAUUAUUUUUCAACGAAGACGACAAUGAUGUCAUCAACCAAGAAGAACAAGGCGAUGAUCAAAGUCCUGGUACAACAGCCCCUUCGUCACCAACCAGCAGCAGCGGAAGCAGCAGCUCAGAUGAAGCACCCACAAGAACACGGAGUCUCAACGACAUCUACAAUUCUACGGAACCUGUAGAGACGCAGUUCGAUUAUUCACUAUUCUGUCUAAUGACAGAAUGUGAUCCAGUGACAUACGAAGAAGCAAUUGAAGACAAUAAAUGGAAGAAGGCCAUGGACGAGGAGAUUGCUGCAAUAAGAAGGAAUGACACGUGGGAGCUAACAAGUCUGCCAGAAGGACAUAGCCCGAUUGGUGUCAAGUGGGUGUACAAGACGAAGACCAACAAAGAAGGAAAAGUAGAGAAAUACAAGGCAAGACUAGUCGCCAAAGGCUACAAGCAAAGACAAGGAGUGGACUAUGAUGAAAUAUUUGCUCCAGUCGCAAGAAUAGACACAAUUAGGCUUCUCAUAGCGGUCGCAGCACAAUACAAAUGGAAAAUCUAUCAGAUGGACGUCAAGUCUGCAUUCCUGAAUGGCUACUUGGAGGAGGAAGUCUACAUAGAACAACCACCUGGAUAUAGCAUACAAGGAAAGGAGGACAAAGUCUACCGAUUAAAGAAAGCUUUGUAUGGAUUGAAGCAAGCCCCAAGAGCAUGGAACACAAGGAUCGACGAGUACUUCCGAAGAAAUGGAUUCAUCAAAAGCCCGCACGAGCACACCCUGUACACAAAGAAGAAUGGAUAUGGAGAUAUCAUGAUCGUAUGCCUAUAUGUGGAUGACAUGAUCUUCACCGGAAACAAUCCAGGUAUGUCUGAUGAUUUCAAGAAAGCUAUGACUAAAGAAUUUGAAAUGACAGAUAUCGGUGAGAUGUCAUACUUUCUUGGAGUCGAGGUGAAACAAAUGCAAGAUGGAAUUUUUGUCUCUCAAAAGAAGUAUGCGGAGCAGAUUUUGAACAAGUUCAAAAUGAAGGAUUGCAAGCCAGUAGUCACGCCAGCUGAUCCAGGGAUGAAGCUAAGUGUUGAUUCGACAAGGGAGUCGAUAAAUCCGACGUUGUUUAAAAGUCUCGUUGGAAGUUUAAGGUAUUUGACAAUCACACGACCAGAUAUUACAUAUGCAGUAGGAUUGGUGAGCAGAUUCAUGGAGAAGCCGAAGCAAGACCACUUAAUUGCCGCAAAAAGAAUUUUGAGAUAUAUCAAAGGUACGAUGAACCAUGGUUUAUUCUAUACCCACUCACAAGAUUCAAAAUUAGUUGGCUACUCAGAUAGCGAUUAUGGGGGAGACUUGGAUGAUCGGAAAAGCACUUCCGGAUAUGCAUUCCACAUCAAUUCCGCAGUUUUUUCAUGGUCGUCAAAGAAGCAACAAACAAUUGCUCUCUCAACAUGUGAAGCAGAGUAUAUGGCCGCAGCAACUUGUACAUGCCAAGCAAUGUGGUUGAAGAAUAUUUUGGGAGAAAUAGGUGUUUCAAAUGAAGGUCCAAUUACCAUCUACGUUGACAACAAAUCCGCUAUAUCACUUGCCAAGAAUCCGGUGUCGCACAGCCGAAGCAAGCACAUCGAUACGAAGUAUCAUUUUAUCCGAGAGCAAGUGAAAAACAAAAACGUGGAGUUGGUCCAUUGCAGGACAGAAGAUCAACUGGCAGAUAUUUUCACAAAGCCGUUGAAAGUGGAGACAUUCAACAAAUUCAAAGAGAAGCUCGGUAUGAAAGUUGGGUUUGAGGGGGAGUGUUAGAAAUCAAACCCACUCCAAGCAUAAUCUAGAAGCAUGAGACGUGGAGCAAUUUUGUGCCAUGCAAAGUGCUGAAAUUUUAGCCAUACAAAGUGCUCCAUUAUUGAGAUGUUUUGUGGCUGGAAAUUAAGUGGAUUAAUAGCCACAUUUGUUGUCACUUUAUCAGCCUAUAAAUAGAGGCUUGAACUUGUGUUGUAAAAAAGAAGAAAAAUGAGAAGAAAAAAGAAAUAAGAGAAGCAACGUGAGUGAGAGUGAGAAGGUUAGCAAACCUUGAGUGAGUUAAAAUCUAGCAGCAGCUAGACUAUCUAGUCAUUGAGAAAAUAUUUGUAAUCUUCGUAUUGUAAUAUAUUGAGUGUGUAAUAAAAAGUAAAUUUUCGGCCCAUCACGUUUCCAACAUAGCAUCCCUUGGACCCAGUGUGGUAUAAUUCUAAUCUCAAAUAUUUACUAGCAACACAAUAAGAUACUGGUUUGUGGGAUCAAUUGGUCAAAGAUAUUGCAAUGAUAGCCAUCUUUUUAAGUCCAUUUCUUUCAGAAAACUGUUUUGUCACUCUUUUCUGCAAGAUCCGAAGAAAGAAAGAACUUGGAAAUCUAUAGUCCAAAAGUGUAAAUAUGCGGUUUCUCUAUAGGUAUCUUUAUUAUGGCAUCUGUAAAGUUUGUCUUUCAUAUGUUUGAGUAACGCUUCUUCUUCCAUAUGUAGGUUCGUUUACUUAUACUACCAAAUCUUGAAGCGUAUUUGCAGCUUUUUGAACCUGAAAUAAAAAGACACGAGGCCUGGUGUGUUUAUGGGGCACUGCUGGUAAGUUUAACAUCAAAUUUGGUACCAGUUUAUGAGCAUCGUUUCAUUUAUUUGCUGUAGAACUAACAACACUGCAUAAAAUUUCCACUAACAGCGUGCAGCUGGACUGUGCAUGUAUGAUCGGCUUAAAAUGUUACCCAGUUUGCUAGCACCCUCAACUCGUCCCGUCUGGAAAAGCAACACCAAAGUUGCGACAAGUAUGAUUUCUUCGAACCAUCAUAUUUACACUUAAUCCACAAAUCUCUUCUCCCCCUUUACGAUAUUCCUUUUUCUGAUCAAUCAAGAUAAACGAAAAGCAAGCACGGACACCUUGAUGCAGCAGCAACCAACUGCCAAGAAAAUAGCAACUGAGAGUGCAAUAGGUAUGAUGCCGAUAAAUUCCAUGCAAACUGAUUUACAAGGGGCAGUUAGCGGCUUUUCUACCACCGUAGGAGGUUCCAGUAUCUGUGUAUCAUCAAUGUCACGGCCGUUAUCAAACGAUAACAUGCUUGGAAGGGAGGUUGGGGGUCGAGUUUCAAAGACAUCAACCGUUCUAGCUCAGGCUUGGAACCGGGGAACUUGUUAGCAUCAUUAUUUGAACUUUUUGGUGAAAGUAUGUUAUCAUUUACUCCCAAACCUGAGCUUUCAUUCUUCCUUUGAUUAAAUUUCACCUCCAAAAGCUAUGGUUUUUGAAGGAAUUUGUGUAAUUAAUCCCCAUAGUUUUUUUCAGUCUUACUGUGUUUAUCUUUAUAAGUCUUCUUUCUUUUUUUUCCUUGCUCAUAAAUGUAUUGUAGUUAUCAAAAAAUAUAUUCUACUUUGGAUUUUAUUUAUAUUAAAUUUUACGUUAAAUUCUGCUAUUAGUCUCUGUACUUUACGAAAAUGAUGGAUUUAGUCCUUAUACCUUAAUUUGAUCAAUUUUAGUCAUUGUAUUUUUUGAAUUGGUCAAUUUUAAACUAUCUACCUUUUAAAUUUUGAAAUUUUAGUCUUGACCCAAAUAAUAAUAAUAAUAAUAAUUAAAUCUGCUUAUUUAAAUUCAAUUAUUAGUUUUGUAUUAUGUAGACAGAUAUAGAUUUAAUCCAUAUUUUUCAAUUGGGUCAUUCCAAGUCUUUAUACUUUUCAAAUUUUGAAAUUUCAAUAUUGAUGCAGAACGAGAGUUGUUAUUAAUUAAUUGAUUAUUUAGCAAGUAUAUGUAGAAAUAACAAGUUGGCAUGUCAUUAUACUUAAAAAAAUAUAUUGGCUUAACCCACCUAAAUUAUGUCUUUUUUUCCAUCUUCGGACCUCAAUUUUUUUAGGGUCAUAAGUGGUACCUAAACUACUUUUUUUCUCCUUCAAAUUAGUAUCUUCAUUAGUUAAACCGUUAAGUCUAUUUAAAAAAGAAAGACUCGAACAACAAAUUAAUACCUAAAACAAUGCUCUUUUUCCCAAUGUAUCUAAUUUUUAUUUUGGCCAUAAGUACUACUAAAACUAUUCUUCCGUUACUCGUUUUACACAAAAUGUUAUAUCGGCUAAAAAGAUUGCAACAAAUAAUAGAUUGUAUGUCAUAUAAACUUUUAAAAAUAAUUAUUAAUUAAUUAUUUUUUAUAUUUUUCUUUCUUAUUCCUUUAUAAUGUUUGACAAUGCCGAUAAUGUUUGAAAUUGGCCCACUUGAGGUCGAAACGCUGGUGAUUAAUUUUGGUUUUGAAUUUCACCACCUAUUUCUCUGACCUGAGGGGAUAAAAAAUGUUCUUUCAUUGAUCAAAACUAGUGUUUUCAAAAACAGACUGAUUCAACCGGAAAUAGGGGUUGAAUCAUUGACUUGCGAGCAAAAACAAAUCAGUUGAACUAAGCUAAAAAAAACUAGUUGAACUAGUUCUCUCUAUUUAUAUAUAUAAAAAUAAUAAUAGUCUUUUUUUUAUUACAUGUCAAUUUUUAUUUGGUUAUUUUUUUUUCAUAUAAACUGAACGGUUUGACUAAUGACGGAGGUACCAAAUUAUAGUCUAGGUACCAAUUUAUGGGUUAAGCCUAUUUCUAAAAUAGACUUUUGACUAAUGGCGGUAGUAACUUGGGAAAAAAAAGUAGUUUAUGUACCACUUGUGACCAAAAAUAAGUUUAGGUACCAACAUCGUAAAAUGAGUAUAAUUUAGAUACCGAUUUAUGAGUUAAGCCUAAUAUAUUUGUCGCAUCAUUUUUUAAAAAUAACAGAACUUAAUAAAUUUAACGAUUAUUGUUUGAUGAUGACUAAAAUUUUAAAAUUUGAAAAGUACAUGAACUAAAAAUGACCAAAUUAAAGUAUAAAGAUUAAGUCCACAACUUUUGCAAAGUACAAGGACUAAUAGCAGAAAUUAACCUAAAUUUCAUAUGGGUCAAUUACAAAAAUAAUCACUAAGCUAUUCCUUUGGUUCUAUUCUAGUCAUUCAACUAUAGAGGUGCUCAUGAGUUGGGCCAGGUCAGGCCUAAGGAUGAUAUUAACGUACUUUAUACUUGCUCAAGCUUGGCUCGGCCCGAAAUAUGAGCUUAAAUUUUCACCUAAACUCAUCCAUAUUUGCAAAAGACUAACGCAAGCUCAUUUUAGGCAUGCUUAUAUAAUUUUUAGUUUUUGUUUAAAUAUUUAUAUUAUAUUAUUUUAAUAUUUAAUAAUUUAAACAUUUUUUAUUUAUUGAAAAUUUUUAUAUAGUCAUCUAAUUAACAUUAUUUUAAUGUUUACAUUAUAGUAUUAUUAUAUAUUUAAUAUAAGUUUAUUUUUUAAUCUGUUCUAAAUUUUAUAAUAUAAAGUAUUAUACACUUAAAAAUGGGCCGGGCUGGGCUCGAGCUUUGAAUGUUCAAGCCUGAACCCAGCCCAAAUUUUAAACGGGCCUAUUUUUUUUUUACCCAAACCUAAUUUUUGGGCCUAAUAUUUUUAUCCAGACCCUCCCAAAUUUUUGGACCUUGCCAAGUAGCCCAACUCAUUAACAAGUUUACUCAACUAUUAAUUUUUUCGAUUUAGUUGUUAACCUUUUCGAAAGUAAAUAUUUUAGUCACUCUCCUGUUAGUUGUUGCUAAAUGAGUGACGGAAAGCUAAUGUGGGUUUUUUUUAUUAGUCUAAUAACAAAUUUAGCCCUAAAUGUUAACAAAACUUGUCAUUUUAGUUCAAAUUCUAAAAAUUUUAAUAAAUUUAACCCUUAAUAUUUUCAAAAAUUAGCAAUUUAGUUCUAAUUCUAAAAAUUUUAAUAUAUAUUUAAAAAAAUAUUUUUAAUCCUCUGUCUCACCCUUUGAUUUUUUUAGAUGAGCUAAAAUCAAAACAUAUCGUUAUAUCUUUUUGUUUUAAUGCUAAAAGAGAUAAAAAAAAUGAAAAGCUAAAAUGACUUUUCGUUUGUAAAGUUAAAAAAUGCUAAAUAAAUCAUUAUGUCUUUUUAGUUUUAAUUUUUUACUUGAUUAAAAGAGAAAUAAUUAACGAAUAAAAAAUAAUUAUUCCCAAAUAAAUUUAUCAAAAUUUAUAAUAAAUGAGAUUUUGAAUUUAUCAAAAUAUAUAUAAGUAUACACAUUUUUAUGAAAUAUAAGAUUUUGCUAAAAGAAAAAGCAUACAAAAGUAUACACCUUUUUAUGAAACACAAGAUUUUGCUAAAAGAAAAAUAUAUGGUAAAAGGAAGACUAAGUGGUGGUUAAAAAAUACAAAAAAUUUUGAAAAUCUAAUAUCCAUAACUUUUCAAUGUAAAAGAAAAACAGACUGUAACACCAAUGUUGUGGUUUUAUUUGUUGCCUAUAAAUGCCAUUCCUAUCCUUCAUCUUCCUCUACCAACAUAACAUGGCCUCCUAUCUCUUUCUCUGCCUAUUCCUCUUCUUUCCCCAUCUUUAUGCUUCUUUUUCUUCUUCAGGAUCUCACUCCUGCUCUUCACUAACCCAGUUCAAGAAUUCUUUUUCCAUCACUCAGACAGAGGGUGCUUCUUUGUCUUGCAAUGAGAUUGCUGGCCUUAAAUCUUAUCCCAAGACAAAUUCAUGGAAGGAGGGUACAGAUUGCUGCUCAUGGGAUGGGGUCACUUGUGACCACCUAAAUGCUCAUGGUAUUGCCCUUGACUUGAGCUGCAGUUGGCUAUAUGGCAACUUCCCUCCCAAUACCACUCUCUUCCUUCUUCCUCACCUUCAAAAACUCAACCUUGCCUUCAAUGAUUUUAAUCUUUCCAAAAUUCCAUCCGAGUUCGGUGGGUUUACAAGCCUAUUCUACCUCAACCUUUCUCAUACAGGGUUUGCAGGACAAGUCCCAUCCCAAGUCUCCCACCUGUCAAAAUUGGUUUCACUUGAUAUCUCCUCUUCGAUUUAUGACUAUGAGAAAUUUACAAUUGACAAACAUGCUCUGGAGGGACUUGUUCACAACCUAUCCGAGGUCAGACAUCUGUUUUUGGAUGGAAUGGACAUGUCUUCUGUUAAUGCUCAUGUCUUCAUGAAUCUAUCCUCUUCUCUAAGGUCUCUCAGUCUUGCUUAUUGUGAUUUGCAAGGAAAAUUCCCAAAAAACAUUUUUGAUUUGCCAAACCUCAAUCUCCUCAACUUGGGAAGCAACCCAAUCCUCAGUCUUGAUCCUUUGAAGUUGAAUCGGAGCAGCAAUCUUGAACAUUUGGAUCUGUCGUCCAUGUCCUUCUCUACAGAAUUCAUUGAUUCAGUUGAUAAUCUACAGGCCUUAAAGUACUUAGAUCUAUCAGGACAUUUUUUCUCUCAACGAUUGUCUGUCUCAAAAACAAAAUCGGGGUACUUGUUUACUGGAGACGCAAAUUUUUUUGGAGGAUUGCCUGACUCGAUGGGGAAUCUUGUGUCUUUGAAGUUUUUAGAUCUCUCCUAUUCCAACUUAUCAGGAACGGUUCCAAGAUCACUGGGGAAUCUCUUGCAACUCACUCAUUUAGACUUGUCGGGGAACCAAUUUAGUGGACAAAUUCCAUCGUCAAUUCUAAACCUAACGCAGUUGGAAUACUUGAAAAUAUCUGAAAAUUCAUUAGAAGGUUCCAUUCCAGAUGAGGUAACCGCUUUUCCUAAUUUAAUAUAUUUAUACUUAGAUAACAAUUUACUUAAUGGAAUACUUCCGUCAUGGUUGUAUACUGCUCCCCCCUUAAAGAGAAUAGAUCUCUCUAAAAAUCAAUUCAGUGGACAUAUCAAAGAAUUCCAAUCCAAAUCACUAGAAUUGAUAUGGUUAGAGAAUAAUAAACUCCAAGGUCCUCUUCCAUCUUCAAUAUUCCAACUUCUCAAUCUUACCGGACUCAAGUUAUCCUCAAAUAAUCUUAGUGGUGUCAUAGAGUUUAGCAUGUUCUCAAACCUUCCAAAUCUCGAAUAUCUUGACCUUUCAUAUAACAGCCUAUCCUUAACAUCUAAUACUACUUCUACUGUUAAUCUUACAAGCUUAUUUUUGUCAUCUUGCAAUCUUAGUGAAUUCCCCCAAUUUUUGAAAGGGCUUAAAAGUUUGGAAAGCUUAGACCUCUCUUGCAACAAAAUUGAAGGCAAGAUUCCACAGUGGAUGCAAGAGGUGGGGAAUGGCUCUUUGACUUACUUAAAUGUAUCUCACAACUCUUUGACAGAAGUUGAGCACUUUCCAUGGAAUAAUAUUGCAGUUCUUGACUUAAGCUCCAAUUUGAUCCGUGGAAAUCUUCCGAUUCCAGCUUCGACCAUAAGAGUCUUUUUGAUCUCAAAUAAUAGUUUCAAUGGAGAGGUCUCUUCUUUAAUAUGCAAUGCCACUUAUCUUCAAAUUCUUGAUUUGUCCCACAAUUACUUGAGUGGAUCAAUUCCGCAAUGUUUUGGAAAUUUGAGCUACUGGCUUGAAUUCUUGAAUCUGAAGAAGAAGUUUUAUGGGACGAUUCCUCCAGCAUUCGCAAAGGGAUGCCAAUUGAGUAAUUUCAACUUAAAUGGAAAUCUGUUAGAAGGGCCUUUGACACCAUCCAUCCUUAAUUGUAGAGGUCUGGAAGUGCUAGAUCUUGGUAACAACAAGAUCAAUGAUACAUUUCCUCAUUGGUUGGGCAGUCUUCCAUUUUUGCAAGUUCUUGUAUUGAAGGCUAUCAUAAAUCUAGAGAAGAUUGGGAGUACAAUGUCGUACAUGGGGGUGAAUUGUCCUGGAAGUGGCUUCUAUACCUAUUCCAUUGGAAUUGUUAUGAAAGGACAAGAUAUGGACUUGGUGAAAAUUUUCACCAUGUGGAUGAUCAUUGAUCUAUCAAACAAUCAGUUUGAAGGGGGUAUUCCAGAGGUUUUUGGGAAGCUUAACUUACUGAAAGGGCUCAACCUUUCUCAUAAUAACCUUAAUGGUGGUAUCCCCACCUCAAUAGGGAAUUUGACAAGUCUUGAAUGGUUGGACCUAUCUUCAAACAGGUUGUCUGGGACGAUUCCAAAUAGAUUGGCAGAUCUGCCAUUUCUUUCGUCCUUCAAUGUUUCUGAAAAUAAACUCCAUGGUCAGAUUCCUCAAGGCAAACAGUUAAACACAUUUGGAAAUGAUUCAUAUGAAGGAAACAAGGGAAAAUAAACUCCAUGGUCAGAUUCCUCAAGGCAAACAGUUCAACACAUUUGGAAAUGAUUCAUAUGAAGGAAACAAGGGAUUAUGUGGAUUUCCGGUCUCAAAAGGUUGCAACAUCAUUGAGCCACCACCUCCAAAUGUGCUUGAAAAAGAUGGCUCAAAAUCAAACAUUACUUUUGGUUGGAAAGUGGUGUUGAUAGGUUAUGGAUGCGGAGUGGUGUUCGGAAUGUCCGUGGGAUAUGUUGUUUUCCAAACUGGUAAGCCGAAAUGGUUGGUGAAUUUGUUGAAAUCCAACAUGAGAAGAAGCGAAGAAGAAAGUCAAAGGAUGGCAGUCGCAGAAAUGGACGAAGAAGGAUCUAGUUAGUGGAAAUGAUGUUCAAGUGUUGAUGUUGUAUCUUCAUAAUUUCUUGUUUUGAAGUCUUUCAAUUUUUUUCCUAUGGUGAAAGGUUGCAUUGGCAUGCAUCUGUCUUUGUUAUUGUGACAAUUCAUCUAUAUUUCAUUGCAUUACAUAGUAUUUGUAAGGGUUUGUUUUAAAUGUAACAUUUUGUAUGGUUCAACUAUUUAUGUCUUCUUUCAUGACUUUCAUUUUUGAGUCUCAAUAAUCUCUGCAUUCAAGAUUUUGUCAGCUUAUUAAUUGGUAAAAAUUAUAUGAAUAAACUUUUAUAAAUAUAAAUAUGAAUAAACUUUUAUAAAUAUAAAGUGUAAUUUAUGAGUCGAGUUAUUCAAUAAGAAAAAAAAACCCUCAUUUCAAUGUUCAAUAUAUAUGAAAUUCUACAAAAUUAAUUUCUUCUAAUAUUUUUACUUUUUGUGAUUAAGUUUAAAAUACUUUUCAAUUACUAAAUCUUAGUCCGAGCCAACCUAUUGGCUCGACUAACUAUUUAGAAAAUAUAAUAUGUUUAUAUUAAAAAUUUUAUAUUUAAAUAAAAAUUCAAGACGAGUUGUCUAGAAUUUGUGAAAAUGCUGUCCACGACCUAGCACAUAUUGGACAAUCCUAUUGAACUAGGUAGGUAGUGUGAGCUUGCCUUGAAAGUGCUAAUAAAUCCAAUUGAGUCAAGACUUAAGACUUCUUAUUCAACUUUAGACCCAAAUUGGGUAAUCAUAUUAGACGGAUAGUUUGAUACUUAAAUAUAUCUAAUCACAAUAUAUAUAAUUAAAUGAGCAAACAUAAAACCUUGGUUCUAAAACUCCAUGCUUCCUCUUUUGUUAACUUUAUGUUUAACUCUUCGGCCAACUUUUUCAAAUGUUGUAAGGUUCCCACUGUCAGUAUUAUACCAUUUUGAUCUCCACUAUUACAUUAUAAUCAUAUUAAAAAAAUAAAAAAAAUAGAAAAAAAUCAGUCAAAUGGCAUGAUAAUUUCUUUUCAAAAUUGUUCACUUUGAUUCUUCAUACAUAUUUAACUUAUUUCAAGAAAGUAUUGGAAAAAAUUAUGGCAUACAAAUAUAAUACUAACCUGAAUAUUGUAAUGGGAAUGGCUUGUUGAAGAAGGUUUUUAAGUGCAGGGAGCAUGUCAAGGUCCUUAUCAGCUUCGUUGUAUUUAAAAUUAGUUCUAAAAAAAUAAGAGUGAAAUAUAAUGAAAAUUUUAAGGCUAGCAAUUUUUACACGACAUUCACCUCAAUAAACAAGUAAUUUAUUUUAUUUUCUUAAGAAAUAGGUGACAAUAUAGAAAGAGAAAAAUUGACCGCGAGUUUUAAAACUUGAAUUUAAAAUAAUUUCUAAAAAGUAUUUAUAUGAAUAUAUUGGAAAAAAAGUUCAUCUUGUCUCAAAUUUUAGGGGAAAACUUACGUGAAAUAACCCUUCCAUCUAUAUGACAAGUUGGUUCGAAUCCCAUGGAAAGCUUUUUGAACUUCUGAAAGAAUAAAGUAAAAUUGCACUCUUAAUGGAAGACACAUGUCUACUUCUGUGCUAACUAUAAGAACCAAUACUAAAAAAUAAAGUUUUACGCUUUUGAUAUAACCAAUAAAAGAAAAAUAACACAAAAUCAAUUUUACUCAAUUGAUCAGUUAAUUCAAUUCUAUAGGAACUUAUGUUAUAUGUAGUUUCGAGUUGAAGUAAAAUAAGAGGAAUGUAAAGAACUAAAUGAAAACAUGUUUUCCCAAGUCCAAAUCUAGCUCAUUUUCAGCAUUAGGAGGGCGAAAGACAACAAAUAGCUUUUGUCAGGAGUAAUUAUGAGCAUUGGUCUUGAAAGUAGCCAAACCGGCCUCGAACUCAAGGUUUUUGCAUUUUGCGCUUCAAGUGGUUGCAGCAUCAAUGAGACACGACCUCCAAAUGUGCUGGAAAAGGAUGGCUCAAAAGCAAACAUUGCUUUUGGUUGGAAAGUGGUGUUGGUAGGUUAUGGAUGCCGGGUAGUGUUUGGAAUGGCCAUGGGAUGUGUUGUUUUCCAAACUGGUAAGGCAAAAAGGUUCGUGAAUUUGGUUGAAGACCAACAUGAGAAGAGGCGAAGAAGAAAGCCAAAAUAUAGCAAUAUCGCAUCAAUGGAUGAAGAAGGAUCUAGUUGGUUCAAAUGAAGUUAAAGCAUUUGUGCUGUGUCUGCAUAAUUUCUUGUUUAGUAGUCUGUCAGAAAGUUUUUCCUAUGGUGAAAAGUUGCAUUGGUAUGUGUCUGUUUUUAUGAUUGUACCAAUUCCUCUGUAUUUCAUUGCAUUUCGUACUAUUUGUAAGGAUUUAGUUCUAGUGUAACAUCUUGUAUGGUGCAACUAUGUAUGUCUUCUUUCUUGAAUUUCAAUUUUUAGUAAACAUUAUACUGCUCAACAUAAAAAAAAUACAUGUAGAAUUACAAAAGAUUCAAUUAUUCAAGUUCGAGUUGCAUUUAUAAACACGUGACGAUGAGAAUUCAUGAUGUGUUAUAAGCAAGAAGACUUUGUAAUCUCAUGAAUGUUAAUUAUUUUACUUCUUUGGUAAAAAAAAGUAAUCAAUCUUAUGAAUGAAAAAUAUAGGGUAAAGAGGAAGUAGUUGUUAACCUUUUCGAUUUAGUUGUUAACCUUUUCGAAAGUAAAUAUUUUAGUCACUCUCUUGUUAGUUGUUGUUAAAUGAGUGACCAAAAGCUGAUGUGGGCUUUUUUUAUUAGUCUAAUAACAAAUUUAGGCCUCCAAUGUUUACACAUUCUAUCAAUUUGAUCCUAGAUAUAAAAAAAAUCAACAAAUUUAGCCCUGAAUGUUAACAAAACUUGUGAUUUUAGUUCAAAUUCUAAAAAAUUUAAUAAAUUUAACCCUUAAUAUUUUCAAAAAUUAGCAAUUUAGUUCUAAUUCUAAAAAUUUUAAUAUAUAUAUAUUUUAAAAAAUAUUUUUAAUCCUCUGUCUCACCCUUUGAUUUUUUAGAUGAGCAAAAAUCAAAAUAUAUCAUUAUGUCUUUUUGUUUUAAAGCUAAAAGAGAUAAAAAAAAUGAAAAGCUAAAAUGACUUUUCGUUUGUAAAGUUAAAAAAUGCUAAAUAAAUCAUUAUGUCUUUUUAAUUUUAAUUUUUUACUUGAUUAAAAGAGAAAUAAUUAACGAAAGAAAAAUAAUUAUUCCCAAAUAAAUUUAUCAGGUUUUAGAUUUAAAUUAUGAGGCUAUAUAUAUAUAUAAGUAUACACAUUUUUAUGAAAUACAAGAUUUUGCUAAAAGAAAAAGCAUCCAAUUUUAAGAAUGAAAAAUAUAAAUCCUUUCAUUUUGAAUUGCAACUUUAUCCUGCCUAAAUUCCUCAACCAUGAACCACCCAUCAGGGCAGCCUCAAAAUGAACUUCCUUGGUCCGCCGGAUUCUGCGAUUGUUGCUCUGACCUGAAAACUUGUAACCCUUUCUUCUUUCUUCAAAAUCAGUUGUGUCAUUUUAAAUAUAUGAAUUAGUUUAUCAAUUAAAUAUAUGGACAUUUCAGGUUGCAUUUCAUAC
Molecule: long non-coding RNA, 66928 nt
Filed under: Gossypium barbadense (sea-island cotton)
Lineage: Eukaryota; Viridiplantae; Streptophyta; Magnoliopsida; Malvales; Malvaceae
Description: long non-coding RNA (GBAR_LNC016786)
Source: RNAcentral